ACUUUCUCCCUCGCCGCCAACUUCGAGGGCUUCGACUCCGACGACCUCCCCUCCGCGGCCGGCGUCCUCGACGCUGACGAUGACGAGGAGGGGCUCGACGGCGUCGACCUCCCGCCCCCUCCGCCCAUCUCCCUCUCCACCUCCUCGCCUUCCCCUCCCGUCACGACGACUUCGGCGCCGAACCCUAACCCCGCCGCGCCCACGCCCCCGAACCCCACCCCGGCGCUCGAUCUCUGGGACGAGGACGAGUUUGAGGGCAUCCCCGUGCCGGAGGCGAUCUCCUCCGACGACUCCGCCGCGCCGGCCGAGGUCGCCCCGUCAGAUCCCUCCGUGGAGGCGGCGGCCGAGGCGGCGCCGGCCCCGAAGAAGACGCCGGCGGAGCUCCUCCGCGCCUUCUCGGUCGAGAUCGCCUGCGUCAGCUUCCUGAUCUGCUUCGUGCUCAACUACUUCACGGGGAAGAAGCAGAACGAGAAGAUCGCGCUGGCCUGGGCCACCAAGUUCGCCACCAGGGACUCCAUCUUCGACAAGAACUUCAGCCUCCUCGGCACCGGCGAUGGCAAGGACACGCCCCUCCUGCUCAAGGAGGGCCAGGACGUGUUCAAGUUCUACGCCAGCGGGAGGCGCUUCUGCCAGGGCAUGCUCGCCACCAUGGAGAUGCGCGCCCGGCACGAUCUGCUGUCCAAGUUCGUGGAGCUGGUGUUCCCCAGGAAGGACACCAUCACGUUCGAGGUGGUGAUGAAUGAGGACGCCAUGGACCAUGUGGUUCUGGCCGUCGCCAGGAAGAAGGCGGCCAAGAUGAUGCAGAAAGAGGAGAGGGAUCUGCAGAGAUUUGCCAACGUUCUCACUUCGGCACCCGCUGGGAGGAAGUGGGUGUCGGAUGAGCUUGCUGUGGUGGCUGAGUCAAAGGAGGUUGCUGGGGAUAUCAUCACUGAGGCUGUGCUUGACCAGGUGAGAGCUUACUUUAGUUCUGAUUUUUUUUGUGGGUUCACGCAAGUAUGUGAUAGUUAGAUACUUACAGUAUGCUGCUGACUUUUGAUAUUUAAUGAACUAGCUAGUGUAGCUGUUGAAUCUCCUUAGAGCAACUCUUGAAGUAGAACUAUCAAAAAUUGUAAUUUGAGUUAGCAUCAGAAAUUUUUGAACUAUUUUUGUGAAAUACCUACUUUGGAAUUUGCCGCUAUUGUUCUUUAUAGGUAGCAUUCUGUUUGUAGUAGAUGAUGAGAUACCGUCAAGAGAUGAAAAUGAUUAGCCUUUUUUAUACAUGGAAUUGUAUAAAUGUUGGUAGAUUUUGCCUACUUUUUAUUGAUUUUGAGCAUGCCGUUUUUUCCUCUCUUGUGUCAUAUUCAUUCUGAGAAAGAUUUUGUCCAUGGUAUGUUUAUCUUUUGGAUAUUUUCUCACUUUGCCACCUUUUGGACAUUGAUGAAAGCCUUGUGGAUAAGGAAAGAAUGUCCAGGGACAUUUACUACCAUGCUAGAGAUUUUCCAUAUUGAAGUAGCUUCUGUUUUUUAAUGAUUGAAGUAGUUUCAGUUGUUUAAUGAUACGAACUGUUUUGAGAUUACUGGUACACUGCUAAUGAGAUGAUUGGAUAGAAUUAUUAGACUUUGGCAAGGCUCAACUCAACUUAGCUGGAAUCUGUUGUAACCUAAAUUAGUGUGUUACUCUGUUUACUGUAAAACAUUAUGUAUGUCUGAUAAGACUAAUGUCUGUUUUUAAGCAUGAUGAACCUUUUACUGUCCGUUUCAUCUUCAUCUUUUGAGGUAGGAUAAUUAGGAGUAACUAGGACCAAAAGAGAGCUAGUCAGUUGGACCUGCACACUGUAUUGAGACCAAGGGCCUAAGCUUAAGCAGGUCAAAUAGACCAAAUAAGCCAAUGUAACUGACUCACUGUUUAUCUUGUAUAUAGUAUGCCUUACUUUGCUUCUAAUAAUUCUUUCAUCUCCAGGUCCUUGGUGAGAAGGCAUUCGAGAAAUUUGGAAAGUGGUUCAUCUCACUUCAUUUUUCAGAUCAAUUGGCAGGAUCCUACAAGAAGGUCCUCACAUUCAAGUUUGUACUGCCGGAUGCAAGCAACAUGUCAGAGAUGACGAGAUUGGUUGCUCUUGUGCCAUACUACAUCGAUCUGGUUGGACGUUACAAGCUCAGCUCGCAUGUGAGUAUCCUCUUGGUCCCUUCUUAAAGUUCAUGAUCAUAUUCCAGUUAUAUUUACUAAACUUUUGUCCAUGUUGUUGGCAGGCUCGCUCGAAAACUGAUGCAGCUAGAACAAAGGCUGCUCAGGAGGCCUUCAAGGAACUUCAGAAUGCGAGGCAGGAGGCCCUGCAAAGGAAAAAAGCUGAAAAGAAGAAACUUAUGGAGGAGGCAGAUGCCAAAUUGAGUGCUGAGGCACUCCGGAAGAAAGAGGAGAAGGAAAGGGCACGGCAGAUGAAGAAGUCUGGACCCAAAGUGAAAAUGCUCCGUUCUUAGUAACAUCAAUCUAUCAUAGCUUGGCUUUAGCUAUUCACUCAGCUGAUUAGCUUAUAGUUCAGUGUCUGCUAGACUCUCAUUUAUAUUCCAAUUUUGGGCCAUCAUGUUUCCCUGUUGUGAGAAUGAGCAAAAAAGGAUCCAGGAGAAAAGAAUCCUCACUGGUGUUUCGGCUUUUAUUGGAUACGUGCAAGAUCUCUAGCCCAAUUUGCCCAUGAUAGUUUGGUCACCUUAUGAAGAAUUUGCAAUGCAGCAGCUCCAUUGUAAGAAAACUAGAACUUACACGAUUCGCUGUGUAGAAUGUUGAUAGAAUUAUGAUAUGAAAUUACGUGCUUGAGUUACAUGCUUUCAUGUCUGAGCAAAUUUGCUGAUCGGCAUCCGUUUCGUGUGUUUUGACUCUUUUCUCUCUUCUGUUGUUAGAGCAGUAAUGGUUCCUGGUAUCCAGAAACCUGGGAAUGGAUUUGCUGGGCUACAAUUUGGACUGGAUCGUGCUGAUGCAUUUCAAUUGGAUGUGAUUUAUUCGAUGGCUGUUCAAUUGCGCUGGAAUUUUUUGAUGCUGCAAAAUAUAAGCUGUAUCUACGACUAGUCAGGUGGUACCGGUGCAUCAGAUUUCUGUUUCUUUGAACAUUGUGCAUUCUCUGCCGAGAAAUUCCGACCUGAUGCCUGGGCACCUCUGAUUGUGAUGGCGAAGCAUGAUGCAUAGGGACUUGGAUUUGGAUCCUCUGAAGUUGUCAUUUCAUUCGCGGAUCAGAGAAUUGCCAGUUUUUUACGCCAAGGAAGAUGCAGAAAUUCUAUAGGAAACAUGAUGUAGAAAUAUAUCUUUUCGAUCAGCCUAUUGAAAGCCAAAUGAUUUGGUGCGGGUUGUUUAGACUUCGCUAGUUGAGAGUAGAUAGUAUCAAAAAAAAAAAAACUUGAGAGUAGAUGGUGAGCCUCAUGUACAAUUAGAAAGCGGAAACGAGCCAACGAAACCAUCCCAGUUCGUUUCUUUGGGAAACUUUGGCACCAACCCAGCCCAAGCGCAGCGAAACACACGGGUCUCCGGCGGCGAGGCGACCCACCUACCACCCCCACCCACCUUCCCCUUCCCAAGCGGAGCAGUAUAACCAACCCAGCGGCCCAGCCACCUCGCAGGAACGCGCCACCAGCCAACAGAGCAAAAAGCCGCUGCUCCGAUGGCCGCCUCCCUCUCCGCCCCCACCUCCACCCCCACCCCGUCCUUCACCCUCCCCACCAAAGCCUCCCCCGGCACCGGCUCCGUCUCCGUCUCAUUCCCCUGGUGAUCUGCCUGACCAGCAGCAGUCCCCUUUCGCUGCCUCUGCCAGCCUUCCUCUCCCGCCUCGUCGUCGUCGGUGUGUGCCCGUUGGUGAAGGCUUGCUCGUCUCUUUGAUUCGCAGGGCGAGGGAGCCGCAGAAGUGCAGGGCCAGGAUGGCGGUGAGGGCGGAGGCGGUGGACACGACCAUCAGCCCGCGGGUGAGUGCGCUCCGCCCGUCCAAGACCAUGGCCAUCACCGACCAGGCCACCGCGCUGCGCCAGGCCGGCGUGCCCGUCAUCGGGCUCGCCGCCGGGGAGCCCGACUUCGACACGCCGGCCGUGAUCGCCGAGGUGAGAAUUCAGACCCGGCGUUCUCAAUUGGUUCCGUAGGCGAAGGGAAGGGGCCGGGGGGAGAGGAAAACCAGGGACAGAUUUGGUUUGGUUUGGUAGUGCUUUGGUCUAGAUCGCGGAUUAGUUUGGAUCUUGGUGGAAUGUAUAUCCUCGGGGCAUUAGGUGAAAGUUCUAGCCAGCUUAAUUGUGGAUACCUUCACGAAGGAUUGUCUCGUUGAUUGAUGUAACAGUAUUUUCCUUUGGAUCAUAGCAACUCUGAAUCUCAGGACAGAGCUCAGAGUAAUGUGUUUUGUUGACAUUGUUUAUAACUGUUGGAAGUUGAGGUAAAAUUUUUAACGUAGUUGCUUGGGUCCAGGCUGGGAUGAAUGCUAUCAGGGAUGGCGCUACAAGAUACACGCCCAAUGCCGGGACUCUGGAGCUGAGGAAUGCUAUCUGCAAAAAGCUUCAGGGUAAGUGUGGACAGAUUCCAUGUUCCUGCAUGUGCUAGAUUGACGGGAAUUUAACGAUUCAUGUUCACUUUUGAUGUACAGAGGAGAAUGGUUUGUCCUACACCCCCGAUCAGGUGCUAGUGAGCAAUGGAGCCAAGCAGUGCAUUACACAAGCUGUGCUUGCCGUCUGCUCACCUGGUGAUGAAGUAAAGCUCUCAUCUCUCUACCUAGUUCUUUAGGAUGAAUUUUCUUAAAUACUAUCAUGUUAAUCGUUUACACAUCCAUGAUAAGAGCAGCAUGUGCUUGUCUGUUGCAGAUAUUUAAUCAUUUUGUUUGGACACAUCUUUACUCUUAGUUAUACUGCAAAGUCUACAACUUCCUAAUUGCUUCAACUUCUGAAUAUUCAAAAUUCUAAGGGUCUUUGCAGUGUAUCUGGUUUUCUCUAGUGCAAAAGAAGUCGGUCCUAUCAUUUGAGAAUUAUGCUGAUUCCAAGUUUUACACUGCAAAUAUGUAUAGCUUAGGCUGGACCAAACAAACUAUGUAAUCAUUGUGUGCACAUAUUGUUAGUAUCUAUCUAUAUACAUUUUUUGGAGGAAUGCUCUUACAGAAUAAUAACAUUAAUAUUUGAAAUGUUGAUGAAAGUAGCAGCAUCUGAUCCUUUACGUGCCUAGGUGAUUGCUUUAUUCUUUUUAGUUUAACUUCAGGUAUGUAAGGCUUAAUCCAGAUGAAGCAAGCGCUGUUGUAAUUAUGUGUGCUUAUUUAUCUUAGAACUGGAACGCUCUGCAUUGUGUUCUCUGAAAAAUAUUGAGAUGCUAUCUUGUUGUAGGUUUUGAUACCUGCCCCAUAUUGGGUCAGCUAUCCUGAGAUGGCUAGACUGGCUGGUGCAACGCCAGUUAUUCUCCCUACAAGCAUAUCAGACAAUUACCUGCUAAGGCCAGAGUCACUUGCCUCGGUGAUCAAUGAAAAUUCAAGGAUCUUGAUUCUCUGCUCUCCAUCUAAUCCAACAGGGUCUGUGUAUCCUAAGGAGUUGCUUGAGGAGAUUGCUGCUAUAGUCAGAAAGCAUCCUAGGCUCCUGGUUAGCACUCGGAUCUUAUUGCAUUCAGGUUAUUUUGGAGUCGAGACAUUUUGCAUCAAGACUUCCUCUUGAAUAUUGAUAUACCACAUUAUUAAUGUUUCCUUCCAGGUUUUAUCUGAUGAGAUCUAUGAGCAUAUUAUCUAUCAACCUGCUAAACAUACAAGCUUUGCUUCUUUGCCUGGAAUGUGGGAAAGAACAUUAACUGUAAAUGGGUUUUCUAAGGUAACUACCUCGCUAUUAUUUUUCUUUCUUUUCUUCUGGAUCAACCAACAGGGCUGUAAGUGUCCUUCUGUAGUAGUACACGGGGCCUGAAAUUUUCAGAAAAUAAUUUAGUAGCAAACAGAACGUGAUAAGUGAAGAAGAUCUCUUUGUUCAUUACAUUCUGCUAUAUUCAAGACCAUUGUCCGGCUAAUAUUUUGGAUAUCUAAUGACGACACGUUUUUAUAGGCUUUUGCUAUGACCGGUUGGAGACUUGGAUACUUAGCUGCCCCUAAACAUUUUGUCUCGGCCUGUGGAAAGAUCCAAAGCCAGGUGGGCAAUUAUAUCUCUCUUCCUUCACUUAAAAAUGAUGUCCAGGCCAAUAUUUUUUUUCGAGAACUUGCCUGCACAAGCAUUAUGUCCAGGCCAAUGUUAACUGAUCUUAAUCAUACUCUCUUUCUCCUCACAUAUCUAUAAUCAUUUUUUGUUGUCUUUUCCUUUGUGAAAAUGGUAAUCUUGUAAAUGAAGGAUCAUCUCACCAAAGAACCUUCCUUUUGUUUUUACAUCCUGAUUUAAGUUCACCAAUAAUAACAUCAUAUUGCCAAACUACUUAAACAGCAGCAGCCAGUAGCUUUUACCCACCGUUUCCACUACUCAUUAUAACAUAUAAUCUUAGGAUCUUGUAGAAACUGAAUCAAAUUUUGAAUUGGUUAUCACCCUGAGCCCUGCUAGUGCCUUGUUUACUUCAGUACACCUCGGGGGCCAGUAGUAUAUCACAGAAGGCAGGGCUUGCAGCUUUGAACCUGGGUUAUGCCGGUGGUGAAGCAGUAUCAACCAUGGUCAAAGCAUUCCAGGAGCGUCGUGAUUACCUUGUAAGCAGCUUUAGGGAGCUGCCAGGAGUCAAGAUAUCAGAACCUAAGGUAUGUUUACAGUACUUACUGGGAAUAUAUAACAUAUACCAGGAAAGUAUCUAAGUUUUCAAGUUUACAGGGAGCCUUCUAUUUAUUUAUCGACUUCAGCUCCUACUAUGGUUCUGAGGUGGAAGGUUUUGGCACCAUCAGGGACUCUGAGGCCCUCUGCAUGUUCCUGUUAGAGAAGGCACAGGUAAGAAAUUACUCAGAUUUUGAGAACAUCAAUAUUAGAUAUAAUCAUACAAGAACAUUUACAGUGCUUAUUAUGGAUUGCAUUAUAGGUUGCACUUGUCCCUGGGGAUGCAUUUGGAGAUGACAAGGGUGUUCGCAUUUCGUACGCUGCAGCUAUGUCAACACUGCAAACUGCAAUGGAGAAGAUAAAAGAAGCCAUGGCUCUGCUUAGGCCCCCUGUUGCCGUUUAAUGAAACCAACGUUUUGCUAGUCCUCUGUGUACCAAAAGACUUCUGCAAUGCUCUAUCAUAUUAAAUACAUCUAUUGACGUAAAAUAGAGUUUCAUUUUCUUUUCUUUUCAGAAAAAUUGUUUGUGCUAUCAUUUGACUUUAUCUUGUUGUUUGUAUAUGAAGACUUGGAAUUUAUACUCAUCGCGGUGAAAAUGAACUCUGCAGUGUUCUUUUUGCCUGCAAUGGAAAAUAUGUCUUCACUGAGUUUUGACAACAUGAAAUCGUGAAUGUUUCAUAACUUUUUGUGGUGAUUUUACCUGUUGACAUAAUUCUCAAACUUACAUGAAGUCAUAAAGGUUUUAUAAUGUGCAUGUGCGUCAAUGUAUACAAUCCAUAUCUCAUGUAGAGAACACAUGGAAGAACCGGAUGAUGACGUGUUUGGUUGCUUGAUCAAAGAUGAACCAGAUAGGAUGAUCCUGAUGUGAUUGUACAAAGAUGUUUGGUUGUUUGUAUGGGACGGUAACCUGAUUCUACAUGAAACGGUCUAUAAGUUUAUUUCUUGAAUGUUGAAUGGAUGAUUCCGAUUCCAAUGUCUUAUAGCAAUCGUGUGCACACAAGGAAUAAAGUGGUGAUCAAUCAUUUCUCAAACAAACAAAAUACUUUUGAGUAAGAUAAUGAUGGGCCACCUCAUUUCUCAAACCAAACAGCCCUUUUGUAUUUAUAUGAUAAGAACGGUUUCUUAGAUCCCCAGAACAUCUUCAUUUCAACCAUUCAGGAAAUCCAGCCUAAAAGCUUUGUUUCUGCCUUCAUUAAUCGUUAUGCCAAGAGAUAAGGGCUCAACGUUACGUUAUGCCUGAAAGAGUUGGCCUAGAAACAUCAAUUGCAAUACACCAAAACAUCACUUUAGUUUUCAAUACUUGACAAAGAUGGGAAGUUGAUUUGUUCAUAAUAUACAUAAAGGUACAGGACAACUUAUCCAUGUUGGAAAAUAGGAAAAGCUGAAAAGGCAUCCUAAACAUUUAUCCUAGCUACACAGGUAGGCGACCAUAUAGAACUGCAAAUCCAAUAUAGCUCCUGAAAGGUACCACCUCUCUGGGCAUUUUCUCAGCAAGUCAUUUUAGUAUCAAUAUAUGAUAACACGGACUUCAAGACGUCUACUAGGAAAAAAUGUACAUCAAAUGAAGGAAUCUCCUCCCUGAUAAGUAGCACACAAAGUCCAGCUGAGAACUGUUGAAGGCUACUCUAGUUUGCGAGAAUCACUUCGUCAAAGUUCCAAUCCCUAACGAGGUCCCUGGACACAGCACGGCUGCGUUGAAGGCGAGGAGUGCCCUCUGUGCCUUGGCCAGUCACCAUGGGUGGAAAUGGGGUCACCUUUGAUGUCCCGACACUAGUCGAAGUUCCAGCUGGAGUUACUCUUCGAGCUAAGCAGGCCACAGCAGCACCACAGCGGCUCUCCUCCUCUGAACUUGACACUGAGUAGCUUCUAAGAGAGUGCGAGGGGCUGUUCAUGCCAUGGCAUACAAGGCAAGCAAGACUCAUGAUUGCUGUCUGUCUGAAACCACCAGUUACUACAGCAAUGGAUUAGGCAAUGUUAGAAAAUAUUUAUCAGAACAUAUAGGAAAUUUCAUGCACCCAAUGCAUAUCGAACAGUGGUGUUGAUGUAGCACCAAAGUAGCAAGAAAUGAUUGAUCCCAAUAGAACUUUCUGACAGAAUAUCAAAUAUUCAUAACCUUGCAACAUAGAGCAAAACACUUCUACCAGCACAGCUGAUUCAGUAACAACUGGUGGCAACAAAACAUAUGCCAUGAGCUUCAAGUUUUUUUUUUGCCUAAAAGAAAAUGAUAAGUCAAUAAUAACUACUACCAGGCUCCAGGCUGCAUGAUAGAUCUCUGCUGCAUGGUAGCAUCAAUGCAUCUGCUGAAUUGUGGGGGAAAUGGUGCGUGACACGAUCACACGAUCAUCAUAGCUACACAGGAUGCAAAAUUUGAUUGACGAUCACUAAUAUUUAUGUUCAGGGCUCCAAUCUGUACAACUCAAAAGCAUAGCAAGAAAAUAGUAUGCAAAUUGUCUAGUAUAUGUUUAGAAGCAUGUCUAGUAUAUAAAGGAAACACCAUGCCUAGAAGCAUGCCUAGUAUAUUUUGGUAAUGAGUAAAUCUUCUUAUAGACAUUAUUCUUCAGUGUUCAAAAUUAUACAACCAUGAAGCAUGUAGCACAGAAUAACAUGUGAGCCCAAUUUAAAGGGAAUGACAGAUCUAGUCCGUGCAUGUUGACACUGACAAGGGAAGUAUCUUGUAGAUAUUCACAUACAAUUUUACCAUGCCCGAUGAAGUAAACAAGUAUGGCAAAUGGAUAACUUCAAUAUACGACUUUAUCAGGGAAAAUAAAAGGGUAGGCAGCGAAGUGUUAGCACUGGAAUUUUGAGUAAAGGAGAAGAUCCCUUGCCACCAGGGGCGGACCCAACAUAGGACAUAGACGUGCACAUCCACACCCGAUAAUUUUUUGCAAAAAAAUCGAAGGUAGCAGGUAAAAUACAUGGUCAGAUCCGAAUUCAAAUAGCCACACAUUAGGGUUUGGAGUGUUCGAUUUCGCACAGCAGGAAGGUGAGGGGAGGGAAGAGAAGGUCCGAAGGGACAGGCAGGCAUACCUCGCUCGUCGCCGAAGAAGCGCCCGACGAAGACCUGGCCAAGGGCGGUGCCGCUCGCCGUGUGGUCGCCGCCAGGAAAGAAAGGCCCGAGGGAGAGGGACGACGGAGUGGAGCGGAGAAAGAGAAAAAAGGAUGGUUGAACGCAACGUUGACGACUUGAAGCGCUCGAGCCGCCCCGGAUGGCAGUGGCAGACUGGCAGCGGAGGGCUAUCUUUUUUAUCGGUCAAAUAAUAGCAUACAUAAAACUGUUUAUUAUUAUGUAAUUUAUUAUACUAUUUUCAAAAAAUAUGUAAUUGACGUGUAUGCUUCAAGGCAUCUCGUCCUAGAAUGCUCCACGUCCUAAACUAUCAUGAUGUACUUUUAGAUCCUUGAACUUAUGCUGAAGUGUCAUUGGGAUUCUUAAAUUUUUCAAAAUACAUUUUCAAAUUUUCAAACUCAUCGUAAGCGUCAUCACUAGUCUAAACAGCGUGAAAAAUGAGAACUCAUCCAGAUUCCCACACUAUAUCUCACCUCCUGCCGCCGCUGCAACUUCCCCGUGCUAUCUUCUCCUUCUACUCUUGAUAAAGCCACCAUCCUCCCCUGAUAAAAACUUCAGACAACGCCGCAAACAAGCUGCGACUUGUUGACCACGAGACUCGAGCCUACGCUUAUGGUGUUGGCUGGAUUUCAACCCCUAGUUAUCAUUCGCCUCCUAUAUUGAUAUUCUUCAUUCUUGAAAGCGGGCGGUGAGAAGGGGCGGCUAAAUAUAUUAUGGGAGUUGGGGAAUUCAUAUGACACUUCAGAACAAAUUUAGCGACCCCUUGUAAAUUUUACUCUAUGUAGUUUAAUCGUAAAGCUAUGCAAAUGAUUAGUUCUAGUGAGACUGUUCUUAAGCAGCUUUCCUUGUCUCAUGCUUUUUAUUCCUUAGCCGUCCUUCCUAUCGCAUAUCUACCUAAGUCUCGUCUUCAUGUCACUCUUUGUUUAAUUAAUAUAAAAAUUUAUCCAAAAUUUAUAAUUAGUAUAUAUUCAUACAAAUUGGUAUGUAGUUGUAUGCUAAAAAUUAGCUGAUUCUACAUGCCCCUAUUUAGGGGUGAAUAUGGUUUGACGUUGGUAAGUGGUUUGUAGCAGCAGUGCAAGAGACAAGCGGUGGAUGUCCAGCUACCUCGUGGUGCCGCAAUGGCCCAGCUAUGGUGUUUUGUGAAAGAGGAGAGAGAUCAUAUUUUCCGGUCGAAUUUUAUCAUUUUUUUUAUUUUAGGAUUUAAAAAAAAAUAUAUAUCUUAAAAAAUUACAAAUCUAUACCCGUUGAAACGGCUAUAGCCAAAUGAAACGACAGAAGGUACACUGUAGCAAACUUACCGUCGGUUAGGUAGUAUUCAAAAAAAUCAUAAAUAAUUCAUGUGAACUUGGAUGGAGAUAAACUUUAUAUGAAAAUUGUAGAUCUCAUCGAGAUCUACAAUUUUGUAGUUCAAACUUUUUCAUUUGGUGUCACCUUGGUGCUCAAAUAAUCGAUACAAGUUUUAAAUCUAAAAUUCAAAUUUUAGUACGAAACUGGGCAAAACACAUUCAAAAAAUUAUAACUAAUUCAUAUGAACUCAGAUAGAGAUAAGUUUUACAUAAAAAUUAUAGCUCUCGAUAAGAUUUAAAACUUUAUAGUUCAAAUUGUUUUCAUUUGGUGCCAUCUUUGUGCUCAAAUAAUCAUCAGAUCUAAAAUUAAAUUUUAGAUAUGAAACUUUUAUCAUUAUUUGAGCACCAAGAUGGAUCCAAAUGGAAAAAAAUUUAAACUACAAAGUUGUAAAUCUCGUCUAGAGCUACAAUUUUUAUAUAAAGUUUAUCUCCAUCCAAGUUCAUAUGAAUUAGUUAUAUUUUUUUGAAAUUGUGCUGCUUAGGGACGGCGGUAGGUUGCUACAGUGCAAGAAAUGGCGGUAUAAAUAUAGAUUCCUAAUUUUUAUAGGGCAUGUAUUUUAGCAAAAUACUAAAAUAAAAAAUAAAAAAAUAAAAAUUCUUUUCCGGUCAGGCUUGACGGAGAAACCGGCCCACUAAGCCCAUUUUGUCCGGGGCUGGCUGAAGGAAGAGAGCACACCCUGCUUGUUCGGCCCGUUUCCACAUUGAGAGUGUGGCGGCCGGCGUGGAGCCGUGGAGGACAACAGGACAGCGUACGAGACAUCGAUUGGAUGGAUGAUGGGCGCACAACGAACUGCUUUCGAGCUGUCGACAACGUCGUGACACCCUUCUGCAGAUAAGCUCGCUCGAUCGGGUAACUUUGCUUCGCAAUCUAGCUACAAGAGGCUAAACAACAGAAGCAGGAAAGUCGUGUGAGGCUUCGUCGCCUUUUUGCUGUUUUGCACACCACCAGUUACACGGGAUCAUGAUGAAGCAGUUGGGCUUCUUGGCAUUGAAGAUUAAUCAAUCAAAGGUGGUUUAUCUAAGCCUCGUCACACACUCUGUCACUACUCUGUAUGACUGUAUGGCCGCCAUCGAUCUUGCCUACAUUUUCCUCUGGAGCUAGCGGAGCCCAGGCCCCGGGGCUUGAAGCAAUGUUCACCAUGAUUGCUUGCUUCCACAUCGCCAUAUAAUCAGCAGGAGCAGCCGUAGUUCCAGCUGUUACCUGCAAUCCAAGCGCUCGUGGGACUCUUUUAUCUGUGUACUUCACUCGUAGGAACUGGUGCACGCACACCUGGCGCUUUGCCAAGGUAAGGCCGCACGCACGUCUCCCAAGGUCUCAAGCCACCGCUGCGGACGCAGACUGCCUGCCCGCCGCACACAGGACGCGUCCGCUCGUGUAGGCACGCAUGCAUGGCUGUAGCGUGAGGCUGAGACGGCUGAUCGAUCGGCGGUGCGCUGCCAAUCUCUGGUCACAUCACAUCUCGCAUGCGAGCAAGAGUACAAGGCGCCCGUGUGCGUAGCGUACCAACAAGCUUUCUCGCUCGUAGGGCGGCGUGCCACGGACGGAGAUUAUUCGCCGCCGGAGCAAGAACGCCGCGCGCACCAGUGCACCAUGCAUGCGUGCGCACACAAGAACGCAAUGGCAACUGGCAACUUCGCUGAGAUUCCUGCCUGCAGUAGCGUUAAGCCAGCGAACACACAGCAUCUCCCCCUGUAUUUGUAUUUGAUUUGAUUUAUUCACGUAUGAUGGGAACACACGACGACGACAAACGAACCAAACCACACGGAAGCACGCAUACACGAUGAACUGACUGAUGGAUCACGGAUGGCUAGCUAGCUAGUAGGCAGUAAUUCGGUAGUACGUAGUAUAGCUAGGUAGGAACAAGUAGUAUAGUAUCCUGCAUGUCUCAUGGCCGCAUCAUGUCUUGGGCUCUUGGCAAGCCGAUGAUGCGGGGGAUGACACGGUGGAUCAGGGGCACUUGUGCUUGCCGUUCUUGGUGGUCAUGUUGGCGUAGCAGGGGCAGACGUUCUCGUUGCCGGCGGUGCCCGGGGGGACGCAGCCGCAGCGCUGGCAGCAGGUGUUGCACGCCCUCAGGCACAUCUUGGGCCGCCCCGACUUGCUGCACCGGUACGAGCAGCUCGCGCCGCAGUCUGCGAACGUGCACGCAACCAACUCAAAUGCAAUUCCAACGACCGGGGGUCAUACAAAGAUACUGGCGACACACGAGGAUUAAGAAACAGAGAACGAAGAACAAUUAUUCCAUGGUUGGUGAUGAGUGAUAUGUGUGCAUGGUGAGCUUACCGAUGGCGUGAGCCUGUCCAUGGGGAGCGGUGGUCUGCAGAACGCAAAGAAAACAGACACAAAGUUUCAUCAGCACCGACGCACGCAUGAUCGAUCAGAGAACGAAUUGAAGCGCUUUGGUUGAUCACAUCGUGUCUGCUCUCACCUCGACGAGGAGCAGGACGACGACUAGCGAGAGUGCGAAGAGCAUCCUGGCCUUGCCCAUGGCGGCGCGCGCGGGGAAGCUUUGCUUGCUUGCUCGAGAGACGCACGCAGAUGGUGCUAGUGACUCGUGUGCAGUGAGGGAGAUGAGGAGAGCCUCUGGCCGGUGCGCGGGGGCCAAUUUGUAGGCCGGGCGGCCGCGGCCGUGGGGUGGGAUGGAGAGGAUUCCGGUCGACGCACACUGGAAGAGCACGGUGGGCAGCCGGCACACCUGCCACACGACACGACACGAGCCCGGCGUGCGCGCGCCGUUGGCAUGGUUCCGUGCUGCUCGAUCUCUCUCUCAAGUCUUCACCAACGUUAUCCUAAACGCUAAACGGUAAACGGUCGGUCACCCUUGUUUAGCAUUUAGGCCGUUUAACGGUGUUUAAACGGGAUUAAAUGACGUAAACAGUUUUGUAUAAUAACACAAAAAUAUACAUAUAUUAUGUAUAUAAAAGUUAAAUAUGCUAGAAAGUCUACGUAUUUACAAAUGUAAAAUGUAAGUAUUCUACCAAAUAAUUUUUUUGGAAUAAAUCUAAAUCCCACAACACUUCAUAUACUUACGAUACUAAUUAGUUUAGUGUUGAUUGUGGUAGUUGUAAUCCUUCUAUUGACUAAAUUAUAUUUAGCUCAUCUAAUCACGUUUAACUCGAUUCUGCUUAGACGGUUUUUAACGGUUUAAACGGGUUUAAACGGUCCAACCGUUUAAUUCACCGUUUAGAACUCAAACGACACGGGAGGUCUCUAUUUAACGUUUAAACGCUGUUUAAAUGGACUAAACGGCCGUUUAGGCAAACAGUAGUCUCCACCAACGACGAUACACACAAUGACACAAAGCUUCUCGGCUUCUCGCAAUGCAACCCCGCCUGGCGCCUGCCUGAUGAGGCGUCUGCACUCGGUAAACCUGCCAUUAGGAGCAAGCUUAAUUAUUGACGCCACGCUAGCUCGGCAGACGAUAGUGGAUCUGUGGAUGCUUGAUUCGGUAGUAACCACCAACGAUGACUCGACAAAUAGUACUACGUCCAGUUCGAGUGUGUCGUCGUUAACCAGAUCGAGGCCAGACGAUGGCGUGGUCGGUCGUGCUUGUCCUGCCUGCAUAAGGAAACCGCCAACCGGACGACACCAACAGGCAACGCUUCAGCUGAUCGCUCGUCAAACCACGAGUACAAGUGCCAUUGCUUCCCACACUCCGUUUCUUUUAACUACAGGCUACCAUUUUGCAAAUUGGGAAUUUUGGAGUGCCAUGGAUCGACCUACUAAUUCCACGCGGUGUUUAACUUUGAUAAUUUAUUUUUCGGAAAUUAACACACAACUAAUUAUUUAAUAAUCUUCCUAGAAAAAUAAAAGAGAAACGGUAAUUGUUUUUUAGAACAAAUAAUGAGCACAGACAUUGAUAAAUUUGCCCGCACACACUUUAUCUAUCACAUAACACAGAGAAAAAGCACCACCAUCUAAAACAUUCAGCUAGUUUUACUAAAUUCACCGUAAAAAAUAUGUUUGACAGCGCAUUCAUUUAGUAUUAUAGAUGUUAAUAUAUUUAAAAAGAUAUAGUCAAAGUUGGAGAAUAUAACUUAGGAUAAAAUCAAAGUUAUAUUCAAUGCGUUGUCGUUACCCAAAUUGAGGUAGAUAUGGCAUGGUCCCUCAUGCUUUGACCACCAAGUGGACGACACUAAAAGGGGUUCUCACCUAAUCAGUCAUCAAACCACGACUACAAAAAGCUAUUUCCUAGUUUUCUUUUGUCUACCAUUUUGCAAAAUGGCAAAUUUUAAGUGCAAUGGACCUACUAAUUUCUUUGCGGCGUUCAAAGUUCAAUAUAUAAUGUUAUCUGUGAACUUAGCACGCAACUAAAUAAUUGUGCGAACACUUUUAAUCAAAAGAAAUUGAAGCACGGUAGAAAUGAGAUUAUACUAAAUAUACGGAGUAAAUCAUUUAUGAUCCUCGCAAAAUAAAAGGAAGUAUGGUCGUAUUUUUAGAUCAAAUCGAUGAGUCCACAUAUGAAUAAAUUUGUCCACACACUUUCUCUAUUACACGAUGCAACAAAUUCGGUGAAGCUUCAUGUCAAUAUGUGUAAGCUUGUAGCACUUAGUAUUUUUACGCCCUCGUGGAGGUUGUCAUAGGAGAAAAAUGGGUCACUCUGAAUAAAGAUAGCAACAUAAUACCCGAUUUGUAGGUUCAAGUUGUGUUUUUGUCAAGAACCAUGCAAUAGCUUAGGUUGUUCAUGGAGGUGGUUGACUUGUUGUAAGUUGUAACCCUACCCUACCCACCAGAGAUCAGGUCUGGUGUCUUGUGUGUUUCAGACUUUCAGUAAUGCGGCUAGUGGUGAUGUGCUCAUCGACGUUUGAUAUGCCUACCCUAUCUUUAUCAUUCUCAAAGGAUAAUUUUGUUUAAUUUUUAUGCGAUUUAUUAUUGUAUUUUUCCUCUUUCAUGCGUGGGCUGGGCCUAGACAAUUCUGCAGGGUUAGGGCUAAAUGGGUUUGCAGAUUGGGCUCAUUACGGCCCAAACACUUAACCGGGCCUAAAUAUUAUAUCAGCCAUCUUUAUUAGUCGGUCGUCAUAGCCAUCUUUAUUAUAUUAUAUAUAGGCUUCGGUGUGAUCAGCAUCAAUCAAAUGAAAGAUUUGCGCACCGACGCCAAAUCUCAAACCUAUAAUAUCCGGUCAAAAGUUUACCAAUUCAUGGCUUCAAAUUUCAUUGCAUGUUUGAUAGUUUGGAUUUUUGGAAUCAGGACUGUUUCUACUGUUCAAUAGUUUUCAGCUCGGGCAGCUUUUGAAUUAUCUGCUUCAAAGAUUGUGACGUCUCCGUUGCGGCUGGUGGAAAGAGAUCGAUUCCGGGCGGUGGCUCGCCGGUCUGGCCAGGUUGGCGACGGGGGAGAGACGAACGGCGGCAGGUGGAGCAUCAUAUGCAGUCUUGCAGUGUGAUUUCUGCCCUCUUUUCUUACAGACAAUCAAUCGCGAGCCUGACAGGGCGACAUCCCUCGCCCGCCACGGAUGGCCACUUGGUGUCCCACGUGGCGCGCGCAGGCGGCAUCCUGCGAACACGUUCCCGAAUCGGCAGUGACCGAUUGCCAUUUUUGCUUGUCGCGCCGCCGCCACCGGCCGCCGACGUGGCUACUGAUGCGUGGCUGCGUCGUGGAUGCACACCAAAGCAAGUCGACGGAUGGAUGGAUGGGCUUUGUUGACCGCGCGGUUGGUUGUAUCAUUUGAUUCAUAUAUGAAAUAAUUUAAAAUAAUAAUGACCUUUUUGUUUGGUUGGAUGAAUCGUUGAAUGAGGCUAUCCCACAUCACUCCCAACCUCUCUCGCGAUCACGAACACGGCAAAUGAAGUCAACUUGUUGGAAACAAAGAAGUGGACAGUAGCCACGUCACCGGCCGGCUGUACCUGAUUCCCUCCAGAGUCCACGGCUAUAUAACGUCCCCCAACCGCAGCUUCGGCGACCAGGCCAGGCUAUCAGCUCGCUCGCUCCCGGCUCCGGGUCUCAGACGUCGUCGUCGGGUCGGACGACGACAAACCUGCUCGAUCAGGAAUGGCGGACGGUGGCGCCGGCGUGAUCGCGGAUGGUUCCGUCGUCGAGGCGGUGGACCACCACGGCCGGCCCGCCUCCCGCGCCACCACCGGCGGCUGGAGGUCGGCGUCCUUCAUCAUAGGCAAGUUUCAAUCCUAUCCGCAGCUCCAUACGCAGGCGCCAUGUGUUGUGUGCACCGCGCGGAGUGUUGAUUUCUCGACGUGUUCCGGUGGGCUGAUAUGAUGCGCGUGCAGCGGUGGAGAUCGCGGAGCGGUUCGCCUUCUACGGCGUGUCGGCGAACCUGAUCACCUACCUGACGGGGCCGCUGGGCGAGGGGGUCGCGGCGGCGGCGUCCGCCCUCAACGCCUGGAACGGCACGGCGCAGCUGCUGCCGCUGCUGGGCGGGGCGCUCGCGGACUCGUGCCUAGGCCGCUACCGCACCAUCGUGCUCGCCUCGCUCGUCUACAUCCUAGUAAGCAGAAACCAGAAUACAUUUAUUUCCACAUCUUUGGUUCUUUUAUUGCAAGAAAAAGGCAAGGAUUCGUGUGGCUCCUGCAUGAAGAGCAGCGGUUUCUGGAUUUGUGGGGAAGUUUUAGGGCGCACAUCCAACGAUUUCUUUUUAGAUCAUUUUUCAUCCAAUCAUUUGUGGCUGCACAAACUCACAGUACAGAGACUAAAACUUACGUUAGUUGGUGAGAAUAUUUCAAUGUUUCAAACUUCCUUAUCUCCUUUAUAAAAAAGUUCCAAUGUUUCAAAAAAAAGUUCAUUGCUUACAAAAAUGACGUUCUUAGCACCACGGCGUCCCAAAGGGUCUAAUUUUAGGCCUACUAGGUGGCAAACGGCACUAAUUCUCUGCACCGCGAAUGUUUACGAAAUUCUCGAGCCACCAACAAGACAAUUUUCUCCCCUUUAAUUUGCUGGUAGAGUGUAGACAUUUGGUGGAGUGUAGAGGACAUUGCUGAAUUUCUGGAGAGAGGAAAUGAUAAACGUGGGGAUCGCAUGCGCGGAUGCGCCAGACGGGUACGAGGUCUCGAUGGGUUGCUUUGGUGAGUUGAAAGUUGAAAGUUGAAACGAAUGAAGACUCAUUUUGUUUUGUUAUGCGACCGCCGACCAAUGGCUGGGAAGAGAAACAAAGACUUGUACAAACACGAGCGAAGAGAAACGGUAAGACAUUAGAGACACACAGUCCAAUCAGACUACCUUGCUUGCUUUGCUGCACAUUCAUACCAUGCAUCGAUGUUCUUAAGGACAAACCAGUGGCAAUGUGGCAUUUUGUCUUGGGUGUGUUAUCUAUGCCUGACACGGGAUAAACAUGUAGUAAGCAUUUGGUUUUCGGACUUUCCUACCGCAUGCAAAGUUCGCCAUUCACACUCUUUUCUGGGUAAAAAAAAAGCAUCUCAAGAUAAAAAGUGCAAAGCGCACCGGAGCUUGCUUACAAGGGUGGAUCAAGUGUGAACGCGCCAAAAAUAUGAACUAAUAAACUUCAAAUAAUGUCUACUGUUUCAUAUACAAUGUAUCCAGGAUGCGUUUACAUUGUUGCAGUCCUCACGUUUUUAUCAACAAAUUUAGGGCGACUAUCCUUGUUCAGUUCAAUGCAUUUAGCUAAGGGCAAGUAGGCAACCCUUAUGAAUCUUGUCAGUUGGAUUCCAAAAUAAAGCAAUCUAGGGAUAUAGCAGAGGUUAAACUUUAAUCCUGUCAUAUCGAAUGUUCGGAUACUAAUUAGGAGAACUAAACAUAAGCUAAUUACAAAACUAAUUGCAGAACCCCUAGGCUAAAUCGGGAGACGAAUCUAUUAAGCCUAAUUAAUCCAUCAUUAGCGAAUGGUUACUGUAGCACCACAUUGUCAAAUCAUGGAUUAAUUAGGCUUAAUAGAUUCGUCUUGCGAUUUAGCCUAGAGGUUGUGUAAUUAGUUCUGUAAUUAAUUUAGGUUUAAUACUUCUAAUUAGUAUCAAACAUUUGAUGUGACAGGGACUAAAAUUUAGUCCCCUCCUCCCAAGCAAUCCCUAAACUUCUCCAUUUGGUGUUUGUGGCGUGGUGCGUGACUUGAUGUUUUCGUGUUUCCUUUUCAAUCAUCCAAUCAUCCUUCUUUGAGUCAUCCACGCCAUUCAGAUAGAGUAUUAUUUUUUUAAAGUCAGUUCAAGAGCCGAUGUACCACUUGGUGGGAAACCCCAGUAUACCACCGAAAUAAUCCAAAAAAAUUGAAAAAAAAGGGGGCGAGUUAAAAAUGCUCAUAUAUCACAGCAUCACAGAAAUACAAAAAUAAAAAAAAUAUAAACAUGUAAUGAGGAGUUCAGCCCAUAAGCUACCACGCUUCACAAGCCCACCAAAACAACUACAGAACUGAACCCGCUCCUGUUCCGGCCGGAAAGAUGUGCGUGGGCGCAGGUGGGAUGGUAUCCUGAAUUCCUGGCUGGCCCUGUCGAUUUGUCCGUGCACACGUUUACUGUAGCAACACAUUGUCAAAUCAUGGAUUAAUUAGGCUUAAUAGAUUCGUCUCGCCGUUUAGUCUCCACUUAUAUAAUAGUUUUUAUAAAUAGUCUACAUUUAAUACUCCUAGUUUACUUAUAUAAUAGGUUUUAUAAAUAAUCUACAUUUAAUACUCCUAAUUAGUAUUUAAACAUUCGAUGUGACGGGUGCUAUAAAAAUAAGUCAGAGAACCAAUGAUACGAGCGGCGUAUAAACAGCAGAGCUACUGCUUGCCUGCAUCCAGUUUCGCAAAGCUUUGCCCGCCGCCGCUGCCGAGGCGGCUAUCCGGUAUCCAGUUCCCACCCGUCGUCCAGGUUGAGCGCCAGCUCGCGCCUGCCGUUUCUCGGCUGCGCGGGCUACUAGAUCGAUCAUCGAGCUACCUCGUAUCCAGCUUCUCCGGCCGUUACCACGACUCCUCGAGGCGAUCGACGACCGUAUAAAGCCCGGCCCCCGUCCUCCGGCGAAGAUGCCUUCCGGUUCGGAACCCCUGCUCGCCCGCGCCGACGGCAUGCUACCGGAUGCGGCUGUUGACCACCGCGGCCUCCCCGCCGAGCGCGGCACCACCGGCGGCUGGAGGUCGGCGCUCUUCAUCAUAGGCAAGUCUCCAAUCCUCCUCCUCGACCUUUCCAUGGCGAAGAACACUAGUAGCGUUUAGUUAAUCGCUCGAGCUGACCCCAUGGAUGGAUGGAUGUGUGGCGUGCAGCGGUGGAGAUCGCGGAGCGGUUCGCGUUCUAUGGCGUGUCGGCGAACCUGAUUAGCUACCUGACGGGCCCGCUCGGGGAGGGCACGGCGGCGGCGGCGGCGGCCAUCAACGCGUGGAACGGGGUGGCGCAGCUGCUGCCGCUGCUGGGUGGGGCCCUCGCGGACAAGUGGCUCGGCCGCUACCGCACCAUCGUCAUCGCGUCGCUGCUCUACGUCCUCGUAAGCAACCCCACACCACACCCCAGAUGCCAAAUCGGCACGUCGCUUUCGCUCUGUCUCGUCUUCUUGUUUUAGGCUUUUAGCCCUCUCUAUGCUUCCUUUGAAAAUUCCCCGGUUGGCUUGAUCGCGAGAGAUCCGGGAAGCUACAGCCUACAGGGCGUCUACGCUAGAAGCACGUUGCAUCUGACCGGUGUCGUGCCAAGUUGAUCUUAAAAUAUCGCCGGAUUCAUUGGAGGUUGUUGGCGUCGUCGCGUCACAUCACGCUCUCGCAACUCUAGUGCUUGUCGAUAGUAUUAAAAUCAUUGCUGAUGGAAUCGUUGAAAACAAAGGGAGCAUAACCAUCGUGGGCCGGUAAAGUUUGCAUUUUACUAUAAAUGUGCAAUUGUAGCAUUUCGUUUGUAUUUGUGAAAAUUGGGUGGUAAAGUUUGCAUUUUACUAUAAAUGUGCAACUAUAGCAUUUCGUUUGUAUUUGUGAAUUAUUGUUCAAACAUUGACUAAUUAGGCUCAAAAGAUUCAUCUCGCAAAGUACAACAAAACUGUGCAAUUAGUUUUUAAUUUCGUCUACAUUUAGUACUCCAUACAUGUACUGCAAGUUUGACGUGACAGUGAACCUUCUUUUUCGCCCAUGUUGGGAAAAAGGAACUAAACAAGGCCGUGAUACGAUCUUCAGAAUUUUUUGGUCUUCGGUUCUUCACCUACAGUAUAGUAUACCAGUUUGACUGUUUCGUUGUCUGAGUCUAGUGCUAAUGGGCCUUGAUUUCCCUAACAGACAAAGGUUUUGGGCUAGGUUCAAAUGCCAGCCCAUAGCGCCUUCGAUAGAAUCUGUACAUUUGGGACUUCCUGCCUCAUUGAGCUUGAAAAUGCAUGCAGGGUCUCGGCAUGCUAGCCCUCUCGACCCUUCUCUCCUCCGGCGGGCACCACCAAUGCGCCAGCGCCACCGCCGGCGGCCAGGCCUGCGCGCCGUCGACCCUCCAGGUGUCCUUCUUCUACGUCUCCCUCUACAUUGUGGCCCUGGCGCAGGGAGGCCACAAGCCGUGCGUGCAGGCGUUCGGCGCCGACCAGUUCGACCAGAGCGACCCCAAGGAGUCCGUCUCCCGGAGCUCCUUCUUCAACUGGUGGUACUUCGGCAUGUGUGCCGGCACCGCCGUCACGCUCGUGUUCCUCAGCUACGUCCAGGACAACAUCGGGUGGGGGCUCGGCUUCGGCAUCCCCUGCGCCGUCAUGGCCGCCGCGCUCGCCGUGUUCCUGCUCGGCACGCGGACCUACCGCUACUACGUCACCAGCGGCAAGGGAAGCCUGUUUGCUCGCGCCGCCGAGGCUUUCGCUGAGUGGCGGAGCAGGCGGAUCAAGGCAGGCCUCCUGCAUCAGGCUGCGCAAGAACACAAUCCAGCUUCAGCAGAGGCGCCGGGAUUCCGGUACACCCUGUCACUGUCUGCAUGCGGGCGUCUCACAAUCUUUCACGAAAGGUGUUCAUGACGUAAUUACCCUUUCAUGUCGAUUUUUGCAGUGUCGACGAGGAGGAGCAGGCUGUGGCGAGCACUGCGGGCUUCGUCAAGGAGGCCAAGGCCGUCCUCCGCCUAUUCCCGAUAUGGGCGACGUGCCUUAUCUACGCGGUGGCGUUCUCGCAGUCCUCGACCUUCUUCACGAAGCAGGCGGCGACCCUGGACCGGCGCAUCGGUGACCGGUUCAAGGUGCCGCCGGCCGCGCUGCAGAGCUUCAUCAGCAUUACAAUCGUGGUCUUCAUCCCGAUCUACGACCGCGUCGUCGUGCCCGUGUCGCGCCAGUACUCCGGCAAGCCGUCGGGCAUCACCAUGCUGCAGCGCAUCGGCGCGGGCAUGUUCCUCUCGCUCCUGUCCAUGGUAAUCGCGGCGCUCGUCGAGACGCGCCGGCUCCGCGUGGCGCGGGACGCCGGCGUCGUCGACGAGCCCAAGAUCCCCGUGCCGAUGAGCCUGUGGUGGAUGGUGCCGCAGUACGUGCUGUUCGGCGCCGCGGACGUGUUCACCAUGGUCGGGCUGCAGGAGUUCUUCUACGACCAGGUGCCCGACAAGCUGCGCUCCCUCGGGCUCGCGCUCUACCUCAGCAUCUUCGGCGUCGGCAGCUUCAUCAGCAGCGCGCUCGUGUCGGUCAUCGACAAGGUGACGGCGGCGAGGGGCCGGAGCUGGUUCUCCAACAACCUGAACCGCGGCCACGUCGACUACUUCUACUGGCUGCUCGCCGCGCUCAGCGCACUCGAGCUCCUCGCCUACGUCUUCUUCGCCGUGGUCUACAAGUACAAGAACAAAGGAGCCGUACAUGCGGCUGUUGCUGGUUAGUAGCUAGAGUUGUGGAUUGGUGAUACAUAGUAGGCGGCAUGAUACCGAAGGGUGUAAAUGGCAUUUUCCCUCCAUCAUGAUUCGUGAUGGAAACCCAUCUUCGACGUUGGUUCCUAUUUGUAUCAGCCGGGUGGGCUAGUCUCUCAUUCUUAAACCAGAUUCAAAUAGUAAUCGGCAAAUUGGCCGUUCAAUUGGUCCGUGGAAUAUAUAGGCAGUUCAUUGGAGUCGAUUGAGGUUGUUGGAGUCGAUUAAGGGCGUGUUUGGUUGGUUGUAUCAUUUGAUUCAUGUAUGAAAUGAUUCAAAAUAAUAAUGAUCCUUUUGUUUGGUUGGGCGAAUUGGACCAACUCAUUCAUUCAGGAUGAGGUCAUCCCACUUAAUACAUUAUUCUACUAAUCAGAGUGAACCAUAUGGUACAAGCAAAUUGGUUGAACCACCCCAUCCAGGAUUAUCCAUGCAUGUAUCAUGUGGUGCAUGCAACCAAACGCACCCUAAAGUGUUCAUGGUGGUGAGCCUCAAGGACGAUCAGUGUAAAAAGAAAGAAGAUGUGCAUCAAAUUAGAACCAAGUAUGAUUGACUAGCAUAACCCUGUAUUUUUAAAAUGAGCUCCUCCAGCUAUUUUUUUUAAAAAAAAUGUAUUUUAGCCAAAAAUGGAGUAUAGUGAUAGACCCAAGCAUUUUUCUGUGCAAUCCGUAACCAAGACGGGGCGAGCCUAGUCUCGGGCGAGGCCACCCGUCGUUUUUCAAUAUAAAAAUAAAUAAUUUUAUUAUUUUUUUGAAGAUGAAUAAUUUUACUAUUUGAGCCGGGCUUAGGGCAGACUAAUUUUUUGGGCACCAAAACUCAGCACCAAGCCUUGCCCUCAAUGAGUAUUGGGCCGGGCUUAGCUCGCUGGACUCGGCUGGUCCUACUGUACCGACAUGUUUUUUUUUAAUUUUUUUUGGAAAACCCGAACCGUGGCCAGCCCAUAGAAUUUAUGAACAGUUAAUACAAUGCAAACUUUAGCGAUCAUCACACCCCGCCAUCGAUGGGAAAAAAAAAAAAGAGCCAUGGCAGUGGCACCAGCACGGCCCCAGCUGCCAGCCGCCCGUGCCCACCCCACCGCUUCCUCCUCAGCUCCUCAAAGGCGCCACGCCUUCGGUAGUUCGCUGGCACGGCUCUCGCUUACGCGCACUGCACAGACCCCUGCCUCAGCAGCCAGCCAGCCAUGGCGUCGGAGUCGGACCCUGGCUCCACGGACCCGCUCCUCCCCCGCCGCCGCGCGCCGUCCAAGGGCGGCUGGAGGUCCGCGCUCUUCAUAAUCUGUAAGCCACCACCGCACCCACGAUUUCUCGCCCCGAUUAGAUUCGAUUCUCGCUUACUGGUGAGUGGUGAGAGCGCGCGCGGCGCGGUUGCAGGGGUGGAGGUGGCGGAGCGGUUCGCGUACUACGGCAUCUCGUCGAACCUGAUCAGCUACCUGACCGGCCCACUCGGCCAGACCACGGCGGCGGCGGCGGCGGCCGUCAACGCGUGGUCGGGCGCCGCGUCCAUGCUGCCGCUCCUCGGCGCCGCCGUUGCCGACUCCUGGCUCGGCCGCUACCGCACCAUCGUCGCCUCCUCCGUCCUCUACACCAUGGUCAGCCUCAGGCCCCCAACAACCGCAUCCCCCUCCUCUUCCUCCUCGAUCUCACGAAUCACGACCUCGCUGCUCGCUGCAGUUCUCUCUCUCUCAUACUCUCGACAGCCGGCAUAUUUUAUCAGUUCCAACCCCUGCGUUUUCGUGUAUUACUUUUCGCUGUCAUGUCGUUGCUGACCUGUCCGCGAUCAUAUAAAAAUCCAGUAAAGAAAUUUCGCACGAUAGGCGCAUGGAUGGGGAGCCGCGUGCGUAAUUAGUGAUUGUAGUACUGAUUAUAAUUAGUGGAGAUAAUUUUCAUUGCGAUUUGCAAGUGAUGAUGGAUAGAUUCUGAGAAGCAGACAGGCAAUGGUGGCAUGAGCAAAGCUUCCUGGCGCAGGCAGGCAGCGCCCACAGUCCACAGGCGCACGAUUUUGUCGGGGGCCUGGGGUGGAGAUUGCCGGGCGCCGCAGCUGCUGCAACCACUAUACAGCCUGCAAUCUCACACUUCACUCCGUCGUAACCGUAGUAUUCAUAGCUCGGCAAUAGCUGUCCCGUUGUGCGUCGUGCUGUCACCAGGCGUAGAAGCAAAUUGGAGGGGCUCUUCCUCUUCCUCCUUCAAAGCAUCCAUCCUAUCUGACGUACCAAAAAAAACUUCUUUUUCGUAUAAGUGAUCUGGACUUGACAUUGUUACGUGUGUGCAAAUUGCUCCGAUUUUCAACAGGAUUGUGUUGCACUUUGCACGUAUCUUCUCCGGAGACGCCUUUGGUUCGUUCAGUCCCUCUCAGUGUGUCGGCUUCAUCAGCAGGAUUGCAGAAAAGCGUGCCUUGUGUCCUUCAGCAGAGCCAGACAGUUCAGAGGCAAAAUAGAGCAGGACCGGCCGGUGGUCGCGUUCGAGUAGUAACGGAACCAACCAAAGAUGGCAAGCCAAAGCGAACCACGCUAAGGGGUGUUGGAUCUUUAAUCCAUUUUAUAUCAUAUCGAAUAUUUGGAGACUAAUUAGGAGGACUAAAUAUUAGCUAAUUAUAAAACUAAUUACGCAGAUGGAGGCUAAUUCACGAGACGAAUCUAUUAAACCUAAUUAAUUCAUCAUUAGCACAUGUUUACUGUAGCAUCACAUUGUCAAAUCAUGGACUAAUUAGGUUUAAUAGAUUUGUUUCGCAAAUUAGUCUCCAUCUGUACAAUUGGUUUUAUAAUUAGCCUAUAUUUAAUACUUCUAAUUAGUAUCUAAACAUUCGAUGUGGCAGGAAUUGAAUUUUAGGAGGUGCUAAAGAAACAAACACACCUAAUACUAUUUGGGUAACAGAUGUUCCGUCCUGCGUACCUUGGAGAUUCGAAUCAUUGCUUCUCUGACAAAUGAAUAUACACUGCUAGUUUGAGUUGAGGGUCCAUGUCCAGGCUGCAGUGGUCGUAAUUUAUUAUGAAUCCAAGUAAAUUGAUUUUUUUUUUCAAAACAUAGUAGCCUAGGCGCAUAUACACGCACACAUGCUCACUCUUAAGUCCAAUCAUACUAUACACACUCCGUAAAUUUAAGCUGGCAGAUUUUUAUUUGGAUUAACAGCGUCUCUUAUCGAUGGACACGUCCCUUCCACUUUAAACUCGGCGAGCAAAUUUUUACAGAUUCUAUCAUAAAAAAACUAAUGGGCUGGGCAACACUGUUGGCUAAGUUAAAAUAAUUUUACAAGUAACUUACUUAUCCCAAGAACGUAAGUAGUUGUAUCUUUUUGAAACCAAAUAAAACUACAACAUUAUGUAAAAGAGAACAUUAUGAAAUAGUUUUCAAGAUACAUUUCCAUUUAUCAUUGUUCUGUUCAUGUAUCCAUUUCGAAUGUUAGCUUUAAUGCUGUAUCAAAAUGACCACCCUCAUCAAAAUUUGGCGAAUCUGCAGGGCCUUGGGAUGCUGACGCUCUCAUCCAUGUUCCCAUCACCUCAACAAUGCGGCGUCGCCGCCGACAGCCGAGGAGCAUGCCCGCCAUCCUCGUUACAGACAGUCUUCUUCUACAUCUCGCUCUACCUGGUGGCCAUCGCUCAGAGCGGCCACAAGCCCUGCGUCCAGGCCUUCGGCGCCGACCAAUUCGACGCCACGGACCCCGACGAGUCCUCGUCCCGGGCCUCCUUCUUUAACUGGUGGUACUUCGGGAUCUGCGUGAGCGGCACCAUGACCGUUGCGAUCAUGAGCUACGUGCAGGACAACGUCAGCUGGGCCCUCGGCUUCGGCGUGCCGUCCAUGGUCAUGCUCCUCGCGCUCGCCAUCUUCCUGCUCGGCACGAGGACCUACCGGUUCUACGGCGGCUCGCGAGGCGGCAGCAACGUUGGCGCCGGCACGUUCUCCCUCGUCGGCAAGGCCUUCGUCGCCUGGAGGAAGAGGUCCAAGGAAGCCUUGCCGGCGGAGCUGGAGCACGGUGACGGCGAGCUCGCCGUCACCGAGAACGCGGCGCUCGCAGAAGAGGUGAGCGGGCUUACGAGGCUGUUCCCGAUCUGGGCGACGUGCCUCCUCUACGGCGUGGUGUUUGCGCAGCCGCCCACGCUCUUCACCAAGCAGGCGGGGACGCUGGACCGCCGGGUGGGGUCGUCGUUCCAGAUACCUCCCGCGGCGCUGCAGUGCUUCCUCGGAGUCAGCAUCGUGUCCUGCAUCGUGCUGUACGACCGCGUCCUGGUGCCCGUGGCGCGCCGGGUCUCCGGCGUAGCCUCGGGGAUCACCAUGCUGCAGCGGAUCGGCACGGGGAUCGCCCUGUCCCUGGUCACCCUUGCCGUCGCCGCGCUGGUAGAGAUGAGGCGGCUGCGGGCGGCGAGGGACGCCGGCCUGGUGGACGGUGGCGGUUCCGGCGGGACGGCGGUCCCCAUGAGCCUGUGGUGGAUCGUGCCGCAGUACGUGCUCCUCGGCGCCGCGGACGUGUUCACCAUGGUCGGGAUGCAGGAGUUCUUCUACGAUCAGGUCCCUGGCGCGCUCAAGAGCCUCGGGCUCGCGCUCUACCUGAGCGUCCUCGGCGUCGGCAGCUUCAUCAGCAGCUUCCUCAUCACGGUCAUCGACGGCCUGACGAAGAGGAACGGCGGCACGAGCUGGUUCGCCGACGACCUGAACCGGGGACACCUCGACUACUUCUACCUGCUUCUUGCUGCGCUCACUGCGUUAGAGCUUGUCGCUUUCACUUACUUUUCAGCGUCUUACGUUUACAGGAGAAAGGCAGGCAAUAGCCAUUGACUAAUGAGCAGAGGCAUGCAUAUGUAUAGUUCACCUAUGGACUAUGGAGUCAAGAUCGUGUAUGCCAUCACAUUAGAUGGCAGCAGCAAAAAUAAAUAAAGUAAAAUAAAUCCAUCAAUCUUCAGUGUUCUGGUGAAAUCAUAAUGGGCUGUUUUUAGCACACAAACAGCACAAUCCUGCAGGCUAUAGUGAAAGAACUCCCAACCUUCGGAAAUGGUUAAGAAGGUGAACUAUGGCCCAGGUAUGCGUUACAAACUUGCAAUGACAGCACCAGUAAGAUCAUAGGGCGCAAUAAUGAUUUCACUGUUGAUUCUUCUAGGUGAAAAAUUGCUAACUGCUUGAUUACAUAAUAAAAUUGAGCAGAAGAGAAUCUUUAGACCGGUGUUUGGUUCACAGCCCCAUUGUGCCAAGCCAAAAUUAGGUCCUGCCCGGGAAACUCGGCAUCCAUUUGGUUUGAAGCCCAAAUUUUGCAAUGCCAUGGAAAAAUUUGACCGGCAGUAAUCUAUGCACAACCCUGGUGGCCUUGUGAUUUUUGCCAUUUUCUUUGAACUGAAUUUGGAAUUACCCAGGUUUUGGCAUAGCUAAUUUACACAGACAAGAUGUUAGCACUUCAUCAUCUGAUCUUAUUGGUACUCAGCUUAAUGGAACAGAAAGAUGAGUAUUCCUUCGGCAACAUGAUACUAGAAUGCUUCACCAAAUUAAGCUACAGCCUUGAGGCGCACAAAAUUAUCCAACCAGAACUGAAUCUAACAACCUACAAGUACAGGCGAUGCAGAGCAGAGGAGCAGCAGAGCUCACCUGCUCACCGCCUCACUCCUCGAGCUCAGCGGCCGGGUCGGCCAGCGUGGGCAACACGGGGUACUUGCGCGAGAAGCACGCGUCGCAGUAGUCCCCCGCUUCUUCGCCGUAGAUGCCGUGCAGCUUGCCGAGCGACAGGAAGGCGAGCGAGUCACUGCCGAUCUCCCUGCGCACGCCCUCCAGGUCCAUCCGGUUGGAGAUGAGCUCGCCCUCGCUCGGCGUGUCGAUGCCGUAGAGGCAGGACCCCACCACGGGCGGGCUCGCGAUCCUCAUGUGCACCUCGCGCGCGCCGGCGUCGCGCAGCAGCCGCACGAUCUUGCUCGAGGUGGUGCCGCGCACCAGCGAGUCGUCCACGACCACCACGCUCUUGCCGGCGAUGACGCCGCGCACGGGGGCGAGCUUGAGCUUCACGGCGAGGUCGCGGAUCGCCUGCGUGGGCUGGAUGAAGCUGCGGCCGCUGUAGUGCCACCGGAUCAGGCCCUGCUGGAACUCGAGCCCCGACGCGCGCGCGAACCCGAGCGCGGCGUAGAAGCCAGAAUCGGGCACCGGGAUGACCACGUCGGCGCCCGGGGCCGGGGACUCCUCGGCGAGGGCGCGGCCGAAUGCGGUGCGGCGCUCGUGGACGGCGUGGGAGAAGACGACCGAGUUGGGGAGCGAGAAGUAGAUGUGCUCGAAGACGCAGGCGCGGCGCGGGCGUUGCGGGACGAGGCAGGCCGAGGCCACCGACAUGUCGCGGCGGUCGACCACGACCACCUCCCCGGGCUGCACCUCGCGCUCGUAGGUGGCGUCGAUGAGGUCCAGCGCGCAGGUCUCCGACGCGAACACGACGGCGCCGUUCCGGCGGCGGCCCAUCACCAGCGGGCGGAACCCGUGCGGGUCGCGCACGGCGAACAUCUUGUCGGCCGUGAGGAACAGGAGCGAGUAGGCCCCCGCGAGGCGCUCGCACGCGUCACAGACGCGCGCGAGCAGGGGCCGCGACAGCGACGUCGCGAUGAGGUGGAGGAUGACCUCUGUGUCCGAGGAGGUGUUGAAGAUGGAACCCCGGGCCUCGAGCUUGUUCCGGAGUGCUUGGUAGUUGACGAGGUUGCCGUUGUGCGCGACGGCGACCUGCCCGAACCGGUAUCCCGCCAGGAACGGCUGCACGUUCCGCAGCGACGCAGCGGCGCCGGCCGUGGAGUAGCGCACGUGCCCGAUGGCGGCGGGGCCCGGGAGCGAGGCGAGGCGGGACGGGUCCCCGAACACGUCGGCCACGAGGCCCAGCCCCGUCACGGACUUGAGCUUGCCGUCGCCGCCCACGGCGACGAUGCCAGCCCCCUCCUCCCCGCGGUGCUGCAGCUUCUGCAGCCCCAGGUAGCACAGCGACGACGCGUCCGGGUCGCCGACGACCCCCACCAGGCCGCACUCCUCGCGCGGGUGGUCAUCCGCGUCCUCGUCCACGCCGUAGGAGAACGGGGUGACACGGUCGGGCAGGAGCGCCCCGGCCGCCGCCCCACGCCGGCCGGAGCCGCAGCGCAGCGAGAGAGGGUACUGGAUCGCGGCGUACCUGAGCUGGUGCUGGUGGUGACGGUCGGAGCCAGCGGCGGCGCGGUGGUGGAGGAGGAGGAGGCGAGACGUGGACGCGGCGGCGGCGGCGGCGGCGACCAUCCCCAUUGGAGCGAGGAGGGGAUUGGAGCGGGGCGAGGGCACACGGGCGAUGCCCCUCUCUGGUGCGCGUCAAGGGGCGGGAUUUAAAGGGUUUUGGCUGGUGGGCGCCUGGCUGCCGUUGGAUUGGGAAGCGAGGUGCUGAGCUCGGUCGGCAAAUCGCGCUGGAUGGCGGCGGAGACCAACUGACAUGUGGGUCUAACACUCAGCCGACUUAAAGAGGUGCCGGUACUGGAAUCGUGGACCAGGAUGCGUUGAAUCCACAGGAGAAGAGACGUGUUGACUCGUAACAGUCCAUACAAAGGCUACGGGUCACAGGCCCAGGAAUCCUAUGGGCCACAAAGCCUCUCUUUCCCGUAUAAAUGGAUGGGCCCUUAUUAAAAGAAGCUCGACCCACAAGAAACCAUCCAAAAAAGGCCCAACCAAAUCCCUCCAUUUUUUUCGGUUGGAGAAGACAACGUGUUUGUUUCCAAUCUAAGCUGCUGAAUAAGGCAUCGGCGGUAGAGCUGGUUAAACACGUGCUGGGGCUGAGGGAGGUGGAAAGAAUGCGGGUUGUCCUCCUGCUAUGGCACUGGUGGUUGGAGGGGAACCGCGUCAGAGAAGGAGAGCAUAUCCGGGAACCAUCCGGGACUGCCUCUAUCAUCACGAAACUCUCUGACGAAUACGUGGCAAUAGGGGAAAGGGAGAAGGAGAAUGCCCAGCUUAGAAGACAGAAAGUGCACUGGUGUAAACCAUCCGGAUGGUGCCUACAUGGCAUGCUCGGGCGAUGGAGGUUGGGGCUAUGUGAUCAGAGAUGAUGCAUGCACAGUGGUUAGUGCCGGAGCCGGUCGAUGUGAAUACCUCCUGGAUGCUCUGCACGCAGAACUUCUAGCAUGCUUGGAAGGGGUACGAGCAGCAGGGGAAAAAGACAUCAGCAAAGUGGUGAUUCAGGGGAAAAAGGCAUCAGCAAAGUGGUGAUUGAGACAAACUCAAUUCUUGUCAAGUUGGCGGUGGUGUCGAAUACCUUCUCUCUCGCAGCAACUGGUGGAAUUAUCUUCGAGAUCAAGAAUGUAAUAAGCACGUUUUUUACUUCAUGGUCUAUAUGGCGCAUGCAUUGGCUGCGAUGGGAUGUAAGCAUGUGUUUGGUUUUAGAAUGAAGUGAAACGGGUUGGGUUCAAUCUAUCUCGUGUUUGGAUGAGAGGACUGGAUUUAUUCCAGUCUUUUGUUUGAUUGAAGGGGUUGAGAGGGAUGUGAUAGAUGCUAUUUUAACACUGUUAGCAAUGGAUCCACCUGUCAGCUGCAGGACCCAUCUGUCGUCCUCUUUUUUUUUUACGUCACCUUAUCUUCUUCGUCCUCCCUCCACUCGCCCGAUCCUCCACGCCGCCCGAUCCUCCCGAUCCUCCAUGACGCCGGCGUCGUUCGCUCGCCGCCCCACGCCGGCCUUCCCCACGCUAGCCUCCCUCGCGCCGCCGGCCGCCCCCUCCCUCUCCCGGCGCAGGUCGGCACCGGCCGCCACUCCCUCUCCCGGCGGCGGCGGGGCUCGAGCUCGCCCGGCCGGCGGCGCGGGGCUCCAGGUGCGCGUUGACCUCCAGCAGCGGACGGAGAGUGAUGCUGUUGAUGUGGGUCGAGUGUGUCCGCUCGUUUUGGACGAAUGCAUUCGACCCGCAUCUAGGAGGAAUAUUCCCUCCUGGGUCCAACCCAACCCAGAUGCAUCUUCAACCAAACGGGACUCGAUGGGGGUCGAACCCGUUCCAACCCAGUUCGACCCCAAACCAAACACACCCUAAGUGUCCUCAUUGUACCACCAGCAAUGGGAGGGUACGCCGCAAGGCAUCGAGGUCCUAGUAGCCAGUGAUUCCACUGAGCCAUUGAGUUAAUGGAAUUCUAUUCCCCUUAAAAAGAAAUCUUAGAGCAAUUAUAUUACUACACCUUAGCAGUCUCAUAGAUCGUCCGUAGGAUUUUCGCUGACGUGGAGGAGAGAGGGUGAGGAGAGAGAAAGAGACUAUUAUUAUUCAUGAAAUAACCGCCUCAUAGGCUAGAUUUUAGGACUACGAGAUGACUACUCCACCAUUGUACGAAUUGUGGUUGCAUGCAAGUCAUAAUAUUUUUUUUCUAUACACAAAUUAAGAAAAAAAUUAUUAUGAGACAACUUAAAAAGACAACCCAUUCUACUAGUUGUUUGUUAAGUCAUCUCAAGAUUACGUGUCAAUGCAUGAGAUCGCCUGUUAGACAAAACACCAAUAUGCUUGCCCUUAAGCUAGAAGCUGGAGUUCCUCGUAAGCCAGAGAAACCAUCAGCUUAUUUGAAUCAAAAUACUAAAAAUUUAGACUAAUUUAAAAUUGACAAAAUUAAAUUAUAGGUUCUCUGAAUUAUUACUCUACAGAUUCGACUCUCUAAACUUAGCUUCGGGUGUCAUCUGAUCACCGAGCUUGCAAAUUGUAAAUUUAGUCCUCCUGAACUCGCACUGAGUCUAGAACUUAAAUUUGGAUGAUCAAGUUUAUCAUAAGAAACGUGACCAUUUUAAGUAGUUUGCUCUUCACUUAAAUUGUGGAGAUUAAGUGAAGAGCGUGUUCUUUAUCUAAAUCUGAAGAUUUGUUGGUGACACAGUUUUGGCUCGAGGAUCGGCCGAUUGAGGAACAAUCUGCUCCGGGAUAAGUUGUGCGGCCUGUUGGGAAGAAACAAAUUUAGUAUUGGUUAUACAUAUGAGGAAGUUAGAGUAGAAAGAUUAGUUGUAUGGCUUCCACCAGGACAGAUGCAAUCGCUAACCUAGCUUCUGAUGCUGCCAGGGGAUCAAUGUCCUGAAUUGCUGGCAAGACAUCUGCUUGGAUUGGUGCGACUGAGGACUCGGCUGAUGUUGCUGCUGAUUGGUAGCUGUCCGAGUUGUCGCCGAUUCAGCACAAGCUCGUACACCGCGACUCGUCUUCUUUGUGGUAGACAUUUUGAGCUUAUGCUUCAAUCGGCCGGUGGCUAUGUCUUCCAUUGAUGGGACAUGAUAGCCGAUGAGGGGGUACGACGUGUACGGAUGAUGGGUCUCUAUUAGUCUGCCACUCCGAUUGUGCGUUGGAGGCACUUAGCUGUCAACCUGCGCGGAAGAAAAGGAUAACGAUAAGAAAGUUCUGCAGCAUGUGAGAAUUAUAAGUAAGGAGUCGGCAGAAAAGUAUUGUUACCUCUGCAUUUGGAUUAGCGUGAGCGGGAUCCAGUUGAUUGCAAUACACUGCAGGGACCGCACAGAAAAUGUACUGUUUCCACUCGGCCCACCAUAAUUUGAAUUGCUGAGUGGAGAAGGGGACCACCAGCCAAGCGCUCAGAUCAAUGGUGUUGGAAUUCGAUGUCAGAUUAUAUAAUCUGCUGUAUUCUAGUCCUCGUGAAAUUGGUUCUCAAAAUUUCACUCGGCCGACAAAGUGAACUCCUAUUGGCAUCUGUCCCAGGCCAAAUUGCCGAGCCGCUACCGACGGAUUAUAUAAUUCGUAUGUUGGAGAGUCCUUCCUAGAAAAGAAGUUCACCGGUAGAAUCCCAGGUUUGAUCGAGUGUCCAUGAUUCCCUUGUCAAAGGUGUUGGUACCCGAGUCAAAGCAGUCAGGAUUCUCAAAAGUUGGAUUUUCUCUCUAAUACGGAUACCAAUUCGUCACUUCUUCUCCAAAACCGUUAUAAAAGCAUUUGAAGUGCUCGACUAUUCUUGAGGGGGCGAGUUUGCUGCCUGGGAAAGAGGAUACAACUUCGCCAAAGGAAGUGUAGCGUCGUCUUGUCGAUGGGUCAGUCUCUGAUUCGACAUUGGGGAAAGUCUUGGUCUCAAUCCGCUCCUUGAAGAUUUCACUCAUGAGCUAGAGAUUGACAAACCACCAAGGACCACCAGGGUUCCCGAUAGGUUCUCCAGAUGAUAGCUUCACGGCGACAUGAUGCAACAUGUAGUACACUGACCCUAGCAGGUGCUUUCCCAAAGGGACUGCGGCGCCUCCGACUAGUGCUUCGGCCAAAGCUUGUGUGUUGAAAGUAGGACCAGCCGAUUUGCCACAGAAGAGAUAUUUUUCCAGCCACAUCUUUAAGAAGGCCGUGUGCUCCUUUCCUGUAAUGGGUCCGGUCCUCAUGUUCUUCUCAAUAAAGCCUUUCCAUCUGCCGAUGGCUUUCGUCUCCAGCCGAUGGGUAGGUUUGAUUAAGAAAUCGAAAGAUGAGUCGGCGGAGGAAAUAUCGAGGCCAGUCAGCAUCAGGACAUCGGUCAAGGUUGGAGUCAUUGGUUCAUAGCUGAAAAGAAAUGCAUUGAGAGCGUCGGACCAUAAGUAAGAUGCUGCGAUGAGCAGAGAUUCAUUCUUCUCCAUAUGAGAUAGAGACAGAUUUAUGCAAUGGCCAAUUUUUCGCUCGUCCCAGAAGACUCUAUUGGAAUUUGACAUUCUGAAAAACCAAUCUCUCCAUCCGGGGGUUUGAUUCAGCCAGGACUUGAAGGUGUUCGCCCAAUUAUCUAAUUCCAUGGUUGAUUGCUUAAAAGGGAUCCUAUGAGUUUCUAGGCUAAUCAGAUCAGUUGGGUCAGGAUCUCCCAUAGGGCCAGGGCUGAUGAAUCCAGGGGUGUCGGCCAUGGGGAUGGUGAUUCUCUGUCCGAGCUCCUGAACAAAUGCGAAGAAAGACUAAAUAACAAAUCCAAAAUUGCGAAAAGAUGAGGAGAGCCUAGAAGACUUACUUCGGAAACGAAGGCCAUGGUAGCUGUGGGUGCUGCCAUUAGAACUUGGGGGUCAGUGUGGUCGAUGGAGGACGUGAGCAAGUCACCAAAGUGUAAUGGGAUGCGCCUAGAGGUGGCACGAGCAAGGUCGCCAGAGUGUGCUGGAAGAUGAUUCGCUGAAAAGGAAACCCUUUUCGCCUGGAAGAAGAAAAUGCAGCGGAAGAGAUGAGUAUAUGUGGGAUGGCUCAGGAGAAGGGUAAAUAUGGAAUUUUUACCACGCCAUCUAUGCUAAUUUCGAAAAGAGCGGUUGCCUGCGGGCGCUCUGUUUGAAAAAAAUGCAAUCAUCAAGGAGAAGAUUUUGGGAGCAAAGAAGGUUUUGCUGUAUUUAUUGUUGCGUCUCUUCCGGAGGAAGGAAUUGGAGUUGAGAAAAUUUCAGAGCAAAAGAUAUGUUUCACUUCAAAACUAGGGGGCAUGUAUUGACGUCGGUUUUUGACACGUGUCAGGGUCGGCUUCAAGAGGAGAAGAAAGUGGCCGAUACGAUUAAACAAGAGGCUAUGGCUAGAAGAAUCGGCCGAUAAAGCUACAGUGUUUUGGCCGAUUAGCCGAUGAGAUCGAUGGGGACUAGUUGAUUGGAAGCCAGAACAGCUUGGCCGAUAUGGGCCUGAAUGGGUCAAAGCGGUAACAAGAUGAAGACAGGAUUGGCCCAUAGAGGAUUGAAUGGUGUUCGACUCCGAUACGAGUUGUAUCCGUAUGUAAAUAUUUGUUACUUUGAAUAAGAGAUAGAAUAUUGAGUCGUAGUCGGUUAGGAAAUGACUUGUAACAGGGUAUAAAUAGGUGCCUCGUGAGGCUUGUAAAACAAUCAACAAACAACAAUACAAAUCUACUUUUCUAUGCAACUUUAUUUCCAAGUCGGUGACUUCGCCAUACCUUUUUAUUUCACGAGUUCGUGCGAGUUGGCAGGGCUGCAUCAACGUGAUCUCCGGCCAAUUUGUAAGUUCCACGUUUUGAGUAAUAUCUAAGCUUUAACUUCAGACGCAUCGCUGUUGUUUCUUUUAGAUUUAUUCACUAGUUAUCGAUAUUUGCUAGAAUUAUAGGUCUUGCCUGUUAUUUUAGUUUUUAUCACCAGUUAUCCACCUUGAGGCACGAGUUGUCGGCUAUAUCAUUACAUUAUUUAUUAUCAUACAGCCGAUUAGAUCUGUAUCAGGUGUUGUCUCUGUAGCAUUAUUUAGGUUACUCUAAUAGUUUCUUUUACAUUUGCUACGUGAUUAUCGGCUGUUUUAUAGCCGAUUAUCCUUAUAUUGAAAUCGGCCAACCCGCUGAUACAUCCUUUGGAGUAGAUCGGAACUUCAGCCGAUCGAAUCUCUGGAAUUUGAUAUAUUUCCUUUCUUGUCAAUCAACAGGUCAGAUUGACUAGCACGUCGUGUGAAACGCACCAGGACGACAACCCGAAUAGGAGUUAAGCAGAUUCUCCCGGGUUUUGUGCUUGACGCAAGAGUCGGGACCACUGUCCGACUUUUUGCGUCAACACCCGCUCCUGGUGACGGUUAUUGAGUUUUCCAUGGAGGUCACGACAGUCGCGGGGAUUGCUGUGGAGGUCGUGGUCACAUUGUCAACUGGGUCGGCUGUGGCGUUCGCCGUCUCCUCUUCCGUCGCGGCGACAGUUGUCGCGGUGGUGGUUAUCUGAUCGGCGAUCCUUGUCGUCAGGGUGGUGGUCGUUGCUUUGGAACUGCUCCAUCUCCUCCUCUAGAAUGGGUUCUAGCCGACCUCCCCUGCGAUGGUCGUGAUCAGCUUGGCUGCGAUCGGAUCUACUCUGAGUAGAUCGGCUUCGGGAGUGCCGGGUAGAUGUAGUUAUGGAGUGUGACGACCGGCUUCUUGAGCGUGCUGGGGCCUGGGCCCUCUCCUUGAUCUGAGUAUUGGCGACACGGAUGCUCGGCCGAAUUCGCUGCAGUUGCUCCGAGUCCAAGAGGUUCUCUAGGUCGGUGAAAACAGCCCCCAGGUUGGCCCGGGGUGUGGCGAAGACGCCGUGAUCAUUUUGCUCAAAGUCGUUCUGGGGGUUGUGUGCCCGCAUGGGGUUAGGGCACCUGCGCCGACCUCCUGCGUCACCUUGGUCAACAUUGUCACCGUCGUUAGGUUGCGCUAGCAGGAUGGGUGGUGCGUCGGUCGCUGCGGAAGCGGUGGGUAGCUGACGAGCUUGCUCGGCUCGUUCCUGCUGGCGUCGGACCGCACGAUCAUGGUUCCUAUUGUUACGGCCUUCCUCGUGGGAGUAAGUUUCCCCAUCUUGUGGAGGUUCGUCGUUGGAGACGAAGACUUCCUGAUCUGGCGAGGUGAAGCUUCCAUCCUCGCCCUCGCCAUAGGAGUUUGGAGUUAAGGCAAAGCGAGGGACCUGGAACUCAACGUAGUCCGAAAACUGGGUGGGUCAUCAUAUUGGAUCUGGAACGACUGCGCGAGUUUUUCUUGGAAAAACACGACAUCCAAGUUCUUGAGGCCAAAAGGGGCACAAGAAGGGCCCUGGCUCGACCUCCCAGAGCGUAGAGCUGACUCGGAUAGGUUAAUGCAUUCAACAAUGGUGCUGCUGAUGCGAUCUAGCCCCGUGAUUAGAUCAGAGGGCAUGGGCGGGUGGGUUGCCGCAAGGAUGUGUGGGACCCUCUUUGUGAGAGAAAGGUCGCCGACCUGCUGGAUGAUCGGAGCGAUGAUCCUUGGGUGGAGACCUUGUGUGCCAACGCAGAUUCGACAGAGGCCGAGCUGGCGGUGGACGCCGAGUCGGCGAUGGAGGCGGUGGAGUCUGAGUCCACCGGCAUACUUCUAAAGCGGAGCUAGAUCGGAUUGACAAGGAAGUCCUUCAUGCUCUCGGAAAAGAUGACGUCGGGGCGAGAUGCCAUUGAGCUCGCUGGGGAGGAUCUCACAAUCACCACUACCUGGCGCGCCAACUGUCAGAUUUAGUGAUCAGCAGUCCAUUAGGGGUUACCUAAGUGGUAGAUUUGUAGGCGUGGGAGAUCCUAAGACCAAGAAGUUGAAUGGUAACACAAGGGGCGCAAGGUUUAGACAGGUUCGAGCCUCCGGAGAGUAAUACCCUACGUCCUGUGUUCUAAUAGAUUGUAUUGCUGGUCGCAGGUGCGAAAAAUUCACGUGCUCUCGGAGGGCGCCCCUGGCCGCUUUAUAUAGGCUGACGACCUAAGAUUACAUUUAUAUAGGCUGACGACCUAGGAUUACAAUCGGAUAGGAUGUAAUCCUAGUCGGUUGUUAAAAGGAAAUCAAUCUGAAUCAGUUUACAACAAGUAUCCCGAGAUAUCCGAGCAGAAUCCGUUCAUUCGGCCUCCAAGCUUGUGCACCACGCGUCUUCAUGCCUUGCCCCUCACGUCAUGGUUGGGUGGGGCCCACUUGUCAGGUCAGUUAAUAUCCUAGUUGGUGGGGACCCGUGGUACCCUUAUUCCUCAUCGAUGCAUAUUUUUUCAAACAUUUAGAAGUUAUAAUUGUAACAUGUUUAAACCACAGUUGCAACAUUAUAAAAAAUAUAUUAUUUUUAAAAAAAUAUCAUUAAAAUAAAUAGAAUUAAUUAAUUUGAUUAAAAAGGUGCAACGUGCAAAUCAUCUGUCAAAAUAUUUAGAAUAAAUUUUUGCAACAUCCUAAUAUAGUUGGCACAACGCCAUCAUAUAUUUCAACCAUCCUGAAAUACAGCCACGGUAACGUACGACUCAUUGAAAAAUAUUGAAAUAAUUAUUGCAACAACAUCGCAUACCUAUCGCAAUGAAAUAAACUUGAAAAAUUUCACCAUAACAUCCAUCCUUAUGAUUGAAGUGUCUCUCCCACUACAACAUUAUUGCAUGCCUAUCGUAAUAAAAGUACGUGCAAAAUAUUCCCACCGCAUCAUGAUCAAUGGGGUUGGGCGUCUGAUUUUUAGUUGGGGCAUCGGAUGCUCUACACCAAGCAUUACAUAUCUUUAUUAUAUUACUAGCAUAGGGGCACGAGGUGCGACACGCACGCGUUUAAAAAAUUAAAAGCAUAAUUUACAUUUUACUUUGACAAAACAGAGUAGCACUGAUAUAUUUAUUUACAGCAAUAUGUAUUUAUUGAUAUUUUGGUAAAUUUGGAUUUAGAACCAUAAACUGCAGGUGAAUUUAUCAGUAAUAGCUUGUGAUAAUCAAAACCGAAGCUAAAUGUGUAUCUUCAUGCCCUCUUGUAAAGCAAGAUUAGAUAAAACAGACAAGCAUUUGCCCAUUUCUUUCCGACUGCUGAGUUUUUUUUACAAAAAAUUAUGUUCUGAGCGAGCUUAAAACGCUUGCCCAUUUCUUUCCAACUGAUGUUGCGGGACCCAAGUGCUGGAGCUUAUCUCAGAGCAACUUCAAGAGGCUGCUAAUAUUACCUCCAAUACUUUUUUUAGGAAAAAAGAGAAAAAACAAACUCCAACAAUCCAUCCAAACUUUCCCCAAUUUUUUAGCAACGCUAAAAAACAGCCUACCACCGCGUAUAUUUUAGUGUUAUUAUUCCUCCCCCAAUUCUGAUUCCCGCACGCUCGCGCGUCCCUUCCGAUGGGCCCAAUACGAUGAUGUAGCCUGUUUUAAAAUAUUGGGGGCUAUUUAUUAGCGAUAUGCUGUGGAUUGAUAUGUUUUUUGGGAAAUUUUUUUGGAAGAACCCCCAAUAUAUAGUUUUGGGGAAGAAUUUUUUGGAGUACUCUUGGAGUUGCUCUCAGCCAAGAGCUGCACGCACAGGCCACCUCCUCUCCUCGUUUCUCUCAUCCUACUCGUUUCUUCCUCUUUUCACCGUUACUUAUUUUUCCCUCAGCGGAGCUAGCAAUGCAUGCACUCCCUGCUAGGAGAUGGUGGCCCGGGUCACCAGUCAACACUCCCGGGCGCCGCCGGUGAGCUUGAGCAUGACGUUGAGAGGGAAAGGAGGCAGCUUCUCUUCCCCCUUCUCUUCUUCUGAUCUUCUCAUGGCCUCAUGGGGCAUCUUUCUCUCUCGGCUUCUUAAAUCCAGCGAGCGUAGCGGCAUGGCUGCGAGCAGCGAGCAGCGGUGGUGGCACCGUUGCGAGCGCGGUUCCUGCACAGAUCGAAUGGCGGGCCGAGCGACGCGCGGCAGCUGUCGCACGGAGAGCUACGACGAAGCUCACACGCGUCGGCAUUGAGCCCACGCGACGUCCUCACUCGCAGCAGUACCAGGCUUAACAGAGCAGGGCCGGUCGAGCGGUCGGCUGGCCUAGCAGAAGUUAGCAGGAGCGGGGCGGCGCAUACUACCAACUGAGCGGUAGGCGUGGUCGACAUCUUUGGCUGGCAGAGAAGCAAGGCUGGCAGAGAAGCAAGGAGCAAGCCGGCGGAGCGGCGCGAUGCGAGCCGAGCGGGCGGCGCGUGUGUCCAGCGGCGGGGAUUAGCGGCCGCAUGAUUUCAUUUUGUUUUCAGCAAGCAAGCCAAUUCUCGCUCGCGCGACGGAGUUGCCCGAGGACUGGGGGGCGACCAUCGCAGCGGAUGCUGCUCAGCCUCGGUGGCCACUACCGCCGUCCCUCCCCCUCCCGCCGCGCCGCGGACCAAGGGCGCCCGUCCCCCUCAUGCACCUGUUCGUCGAUUGGAAGGAUGUGUCCUAUCCUCUCUGGCGAGAGAAUAGGUGAGAAAUAUUUUCAAUUAUUUUUGAUAUACGAUUUAGACAUGUAAAACUACCUCAUAUUGCGCGUACAAUAAAUGUUAACGGUGCAGGUGUUCUGAUUAAUCAGCAAGCAACCGGUCGAGCUAAUCGCUGUCGUGCCGAGAGUAUACGUGGAAAACUUGGGCACGAAAGUCAGCUACUACCAUGUACCAACUAAUCCACCACUUUGGGAACGUCUACAAGACCGCGACACAAGCUUAUUAGCUUAAUACACUUUGGGUUAGUCUCCCCCAAAGGAGCAGCCAAGCCACGAAGACAAGUGCGUUAGGUUGAAAACGGACGGACGGGAUAAAUCUUCCAUCCCGUUUUCCACAUCUAACCUGCCUAUUUUCAUAUUUAUAGGGGGGUGUUUGAAGCACUCCACUCCAAAUUUUUGAGCUCCACUCCACCAACUCCACCACAUUGCAGCUCCACUCCACCAACUCCAGAAAAAUACCAGAGCUGUCCACAUGUUUGGCAAAGUGCACAGAUCCAGCUCCGGAAACAGAAGAUCUUGCUGUGUUAAAGUUUCAUUAUACCCAUGUGAAUGGGUGCCCACUUUGUCAGUCUCUUUUAGUUCACCCUCUGUUCUCCCUCUCUUCUUCCUUUGCUGCUAGGCAAUGGGAAAGGCCAGCGCGCAUUGCGAAGCAGAGGCGUGGCGGGCACGGCCAGGGGGCGGCCGGCGGGCCCCGUUGGCGGGCGUUGCCAAGGGGCGGCAUGUUGUGUGUUGUGUCACUGGGGUCGGGAUGUGCACGNNNNNNNNNNNNNNNNNNNNNNNNNNNNNNNNNNNNNNNNNNNNNNNNNNNNNNNNNNNNNNNNNNNNNNNNNNNNNNNNNNNNNNNNNNNNNNNNNNNNGCAUCAGGGGCCCGCCGCCGCCUCCACCCGGCCGGCUCUGGCAGGCGAAGGAGGCAUCAGGGGCCCGCCGCCGCCUCUGAGCUCGACGCGGGCGCGCUCAGCGCGGAGCUCCGCGGCUGGCGCGCGGCGCUGGAGGCCUGGGCCGAGUCGCAGCGUGCGUACACGGCGGCGCUCUGGGGCUGGGCGCGGAGCUGCGUCAAGGACGGCGAGGACAUGCCGCACCUGAUCGUGGGGUGGGCGCGCGUGGUGGAGUCUGUGGACGUGGACGCGGCGGCCAGGGCCGUGGACGCCGUCGCGGCGGAGGCGGCCGCCAUCGCGACGGCCGCGAAACGGCAGCGCGGCGGCGGCGAGGAGUGGUUCAACGAGGAGGAGGCGAAGAAGAUGGUCUGCCAAGGGAUCACCGCCGCGCUGGCCGCCAUCGCGGAGGCCGGCGGCUUGGCCGUCGUUGCGUACGACGAGCUGGUGCUGGAGAUGGAGAUGGAAGGGAGGGAGCGGGAGACGGAGAUGGCAGGAAGGGACGAGGAAUCGAUCCAAAACUAAAAUCCUGCGGUUGUGAACCUGCAAGACGUGCAAAGGAUCUGUAAAUGUAUAUGUACAGAACUCACAAAUCACAAUUACAAAAGCAAUUAGGAGUAUGAGAGCUUACCUGAACUCACAAUUACUCUCUGUUCAUCAGAAGAAUCAGAAGGUAACAGGGUAAUCUAAUCCAUCAGAACACCUACUGCAAUCAGAUUAGAAACAUAUAAUGACAUGAUAUCUCAUCACAGUACUAAUUAUGCUUCGGAGUUCAGUCUCUUAGACCCUUAGCACAUACUAUAAUCAUAUAUGAGUAGCUAGUUAGCCACUCAGUUCUAGUAUUACAGAACUAGGCAAUAUAGCGACCGAGACGGGGACUCUGAAAAACUCAAGUCCGUUCAGUUCACAACUCCAGCCAACACAGCAAUGGCAGCUGACAUACACUUGCAGGUCGUAGUACCGUGCAUAUAUAUAGAUACGCAUACAGGGCAGGAGCUGCCAUCGGCGUGCGAACUCCAGGCUCCGGCUUCGGCUCCUCUUCACUUGGACAGGCCGCCGUCCCACGGCCAGACGUCGACGCCGGGGCCGCCGCAGCUCGUCACCUCGCUGGCGAUCCGGUUCUCGAGGCUCUCGAGGCUGGCGAUGCUCUGCAGCGGCGAGUUCUGCACCUGCUCCGUCGGGGACAGCCCCGCGAAGCACGGGUCGUCGCCGGCGAAGUCCAGGCCGGACAGCACGUCGGGGCCCCGGCACGCCUGCCGCGGGUUGAGCACAGCAGUCGGGCGGCCAGCGCGGCAGGGCGGGCGGGCGGCGGCGGGCGGCGCGGGGUGCGGCGGCGGGCGGCACGGGGUGCGGCGGCUGAGGAGCGGGGGCGGGCGGCGCGGCGAGCGGCGGGCGACGCGACGGGCGGCGGGCGGCGGCGACGGGCGGCGCAGCGGGCGGGAGCGGCGCGGCAGGCAGGCCGGCCGGCGCGACGGGAGCGUCUCCUUUUUUAUUUCGCGAACCGUUACGUUGUGUAACGAGUGGCAGUAGUGGGUAAAUACCCACCAACUCCACGAGGAGGUCUGUAAAGAGGAUUUUUGGAGCACCUCUUGAGGUACUCCACCAAAAACGUGGAUCUACCUUGCUGGAGCCGAACGCGUUUGGCUGCGAUUUUUUAGGAGUUGGUGGAGUGGAGUGAUUUUUGGUGAAGUGAAGUGCUCCCAAACACCCCCUAGAUAAAUCCGGAAAUAGGACAGGAACCAGGAGAGGGUCUAUCCCGCAUGUUUUUGUAGGAUCCCCUUUUUAACUAGGAUGGACCGUAUUUAUCCCGUAUUUAAUAAAUCCAGGAUAGAUUUAAUAUGCAUUAGCAUGUACUUAGCUCUAGUUCAAUUUCUCUUAUAGCCCAAGAGGUCAUACCACAUAUUUCAUGAAAGAUCCCGUUCAUCCCGUUCCCACUCCUAUUCCCAACUAUUCCGAACCUGAUCCCGUUUUCGAUGAUAAAAUGUGAUAACGAAAAUGGGAGAGGGGUUUUCCGCCCGUUCAGUUCUGUUUUCAUCCCUUGCCUGGCCCCCAAAGGAGCAGCCGAGCCAAACCAAAGGAAUCCGGUCAGUGCGUCGCCGCGUCAGCAUAUCGAACAGCAGACGACGCCCACAAAAAAACACGCGCAGCGCACCAAGAUCCGGGGUGCAAGAACACCAAAAGCAGCAGGCACCUUUCUUCGCUCCGCGCCCGCCCGCCGGCGCCUCCACGCAGCUGCGGCCGCCGGCACCGGCAGAGCCCGAGGCCGCGCGCCGCAGCGGCGGCGACCAGGGACAGGGCACGUGAAGCCCCGUGCCGUCUCGGACGCUGAACAGAGGGCCCCCGGCGGGUUGGCCGGCUGGGUCACUCCCUCGGUGGCAGAGAGCGCGGCGGGGAGGUACGUGCAGCGAGCGCGGGACCACCACGUCCCGCGCCCGCGGGCCGGUCAGCCGGCGCGUGAUGAGAUCUGGAUCGCGCGAGUCGCGACAUGAGGGCCGUAUGGGUGUGGGGCCGUGCGCUGUCGCGGGUACACGCUAAUCGUGCCAGCUCCACCGUUGAUCCCAUCUAACAACCCGCCUUCAUUUUUGGCUUGCUACCUGUGCCAGUUUUUUCUGCUAUGGGGCACCCCGGGGUGUGUACCCGUUUCAACGAUGAAGAUCUAUCAAGUUAUUUUUUUUAGAAAAAAGAUAUAUCAGGUUGGGUAGAAACACAAAUAGAAACGGACUCGCAGUAUAAUCUAUAGCACCUUCAGUCUUUGCUUGCCCCACAUCAAGAACACGACGUUCGGCGAGUAAAACUAGCUGUAUAGUUUCUUCCUUCCUUUACUUUAGCUUUUUGUUUGUACAAGUAUCGGGCUGUUUGUACAAGUAUCGGGCACGAAUGGAUCGCUGCAACGCUAUAUGGCUGCUCCCUAUCUUCCUGAAUUUAUCCUUGCACAAAGCUAAAAUGGGUUAACUUCACGUAUUUUAGUGUCGAAUCUAUUUUUGGUUGGAACUGGCAUUUAAUUUUAAUUAAUUAUUUAACUAAAGUAUCCAUUUCAAUCCCAACUCGAAAAGUCGUCCCAAUUGUUGUUGAAGAUGAACGCUUUCAAAUACACAAAGCACUACUCCUUACCUUCCUGAGUUUAUCCUCACACAAAACUAAAACAGGUUAACUUCACAUAUUUUAGUAUCCAAUCUAUUUUUAGCUGGAACUGGCAUUUAAUUUUAAUUGAUUAUUUAACUAAAGUAUCCAUUCUAAUCCCAACUCGAAAAAUCGUCCCAAUUGUUGUUGAAGAUGAACGCUUUCAAAUAAACAAAGCAUAGGGAUUUCAACUUGGAUCUAAUGCCCCUUAAACGCUAAAAUGUUCUCUCUAUAAGUCAGAUUCAGUCUUUAUUCCUAUCAAAGUUAGUUAUUUCCUUGAUUCUUUUCUUUUUCGUGCAUAACCUUUCCCAAACUUAUCGGAAAAUGGUAACUUUUCCAUGGUCACUAUUUGGACGUCUCCUUUUAACCUAUAUCCAUAAAAGGUGUCAUCAAGACUCUCUUUUUAAAACGAAAUGACACCAAGACUUUCACCUCACUAUCAAUCGUGAUGCGUCGACUACAAUCAUAAGUUCGUUUGCCAUUGUUUGAAAAAAAAAAGUUUUUGUCGGUAGAAAUAAAUUGGACAAAGAUGACGAGACAGAUGUUUAUCCAAGUCUUUUUCACAUCACACAAAACUGUGCAUUGCCAAUCACAAACGUGUGCACAUCAUAUGUACGCCCAGCACAGAUGUAAGCGAAUCAUACCAUGGUCCAUGGAAAACCUUUCCAUCUUUUAAUCACGCUUCGACUUCGAAUCUCCAUCUCCAGGCUCCAGUUACACUUGUCCCCUCCCCUCUCGUCUCAGCCUCUCUCCCCUCCCUCCAACCCCGCACACACCACUCACACAUCCUCCAGGUGAACAAGCACAAAAUUCGAACACGAAAAUCCAAAAAAUCCGAUCUCUACCUCCAUUUCCAAAUCAUCACCUGGGCCCGCCCCAAAUGCGCCAGCCUCGCGCCGCCACCACCGCGCGCCGUCGAUGACUCCCGCCCCUCCGAACGCUGGCGGCGACCUCUUCGCCGCCAACCUCACGGGCGCGCUCCUCGCCGUCGCCUCCUCCGCCUUCAUAGGCGUCAGCUUCAUCGUCAAGAAGAAGGGCCUCCGCCGCGCCGGCGCUGCCGGCACCCGCGCAGGUACCCACGUCCCCUCUCUGUCACCGGCAACCAAAAGGCGCCUCCUUUUUUCUCUCGUUUUCGUUAUUUCUGUUACAAUCAUGGGCAGCGCUCGAAUCCCUUCUUCGUUUCGAUUUUUAGGCGUUCAUUUUAGUCCACGUGACGAACGAUGUUGAAAAGUCGCUGCUUUCAUGGCCAAUUCGUUGCAAUCAUGCGAAAUUGGUUUUGGUGAUGGAAAUUGCAGGUGUUGGGGGCUAUGGAUACCUCCUGGAGCCAUUGUGGUGGGUUGGGAUGGUUACCAGUACGUUCCUGAUUCCGUUGGUUAGCUCGUUCUUCACAGCAUAUAACAGAAAUAAUUGACAUGCUUGGAACUUCGCAGUGUUGAUUGGUGAGAUUGCUAAUUUCGUGGCCUACAUGUUUGCGCCAGCUGUUCUGGUCACCCCACUUGGUGCGCUCAGCAUAAUUGUCAGGUAGGAUUGUGAUGGUUGCUAAAUGACCUUGUUGUGUUCUGUCUGGAGAGCAGAGAUGGUUAAUUUCGUGGAUUGAUUUAGUUUUGAUUGGACAUGCGCAUGUGUGGUGAUCUCUGCGGAGCAGUGCUGUUCUAGCCCAUUUCAUCCUGAAUGAGAAGCUGCAGCGGAUGGGUGUGUUGGGUUGUGUGCUCUGUAUAGUCGGGUCAACCGUAAUCAUCCUCCAUGCACCCGAAGAAGAGACGCCAAGCUCUGUGGCGCAGAUCUGGCACUUGGCAACACAACCUGGUAUUCCCUCUGAUCUUACGGAGUAUAUUGUUUUAUACAUCGACUUGUUAAAACAAGUACACUUUGGCCAAAACAUUAUAUCUGUAUGUUUGUAAAUCCUAAUAAAAAAUGUUUGUCAAGUUAUACCUGUUUGCAUAAUUUCAUAUGAUUCUAUCUAAAUUUUGUAACGAAAUACAUACGGCCAAGCUUUUUGUAAAGAAACUCAUAGUCAAAUGAAAAAAGUUCGACCGAUGCAUUAUGGGAUAAUAUGUUGCCCUAUAUAUCAACCCUAUAAUCAUCAGUCACCAAAACUGACCAGUUGAGUUUUCAUGUGCAUCGUGUAAUGUCUCCCCUUCCUUUCUGCAGCCUUUCUUUGUUAUGCGGCCUCUGCAUUGGUGAUCUCAAUGAUAUUGAUGCUGCACUGUGCACCCCGCUAUGGCCAGACCAAUAUAGUGGUUUAUGUCGGCAUUUGCUCAGUGAUAGGAUCUUUGACGGUAAAUGAUGUUCAUUGGCAUACACCUUUGAUACCAACUUUGUUUUGGUUUUCAUGGAGUGUUUCAUUGCCUUUUUUUUGCUAGGUAAUGAGCAUCAAGGCGGUAGGCAUUGCUAUCAAGCUUACAAUUGAGGGUAUAAACCAGGCUGGCUAUUUCCAAACUUGGUUGUUCGCGACNNNNNNNNNNNNNNNNNNNNNNNNNNNNNNNNNNNNNNNNNNNNNNNNNNNNNNNNNNNNNNNNNNNNNNNNNNNNNNNNNNNNNNNNNNNNNNNNNNNNNNNNNNNNNNNNNNNNNNNNNNNNNNNNNNNNNNNNNNNNNNNNNNNNNNNNNNNNNNNNNNNNNNNNNNNNNNNNNNNNAGCGAACGGUGAGGGCUCCCUUAACCAGGCAGUCAUACGGGAACUUGGUGAUUUUCUGUAUUCUGAUUCUUUAGAAAAUUAAAAAAUAUCAAUGUUUUUUCUUGGAUGGGUAUUGACAGUUAUCCAUCCACUUCUCUAUUUAGAUUAGGAAACAAAAUCUAAAUCUCUUAUCAGAAGUGACACCAUAGUAACUUACUGUUUUUCUUUUACAAACUACAGAUUUGUACACUCCUCUUCCCCCAAUAUAUUGGCAUAUCCAAGGCAACAGCGAAACAGGAGGGAAACAGAAAGAGGAUGAUUUACUCUCUGGCGACUUCAUUACUGUGGUGCGACAAGACUACUUUGUCUAGAAACCUUCCAGGAUGCUCAAAUACCAUGAAAGGAUCCUACUUAUGCUCAGUGUUCUGUGGCUUUCCCACCUUGCAUGGUUCAUCAUUGAGAAACUCAUGAUGCUUCCUAUGCUCAUUGUCGUCUCAAGACAGCCUUCCUUCGGUCGGUUGACCGAUCUGAGUAAUUGCUAAGUUUUGUAGAAAUGGUAGGAUUUGUUAAUGUUCCAGUUUGAACACUGGGCAGCUGGGCCGAUGCCUUGUAGUAAGAUAUAAGCAAUCUGUCUUCGAGCCUGCUGGUAUGAGCAAGGUUUUGCUGCCAGUUCAUCAAGGCGGUGCAGCCAGAUAUGUUGUGUGUGGCCUCAACCGUCUGAAAGGUUCUAGCUAGUCUUGACAGUUUUUGGCAGAUGUAUUUAUGUUGUACAGUCUAAUGUAAAUGUAUGAACUAGAGCUAACAGAAUCUGCGCAUAUAUUCUGAGGCAAACUUUGGGGGUGUUUGGAUACACCCCACUAAAAUUUAGCACAUGUCACAUCAGAUGUUUGGAUGCUAAUUAGAAGUAUUAAAUAUAAGCUAAUUACAAAACUAAUUGCACAGAUAGAGUCUAAUUCGCGAGAUGAAUCUAUUAAGCCUAAUUAGUCCAUGAUUUGACAAUGUGGUGCUACAUUAACCAUUUGUUAAUGACGGAUUAAUUAGGCUUAAUAGAUUCAUCUCGCGAAUUAGCAUAGGGUUCUGCAAUUAGUUUU
This 47911-nucleotide long non-coding RNA is filed under the name Setaria italica (foxtail millet). RNAcentral's name for it is "long non-coding RNA (SITA_LNC002122)". The record is from RNAcentral. Lineage: Eukaryota; Viridiplantae; Streptophyta; Magnoliopsida; Poales; Poaceae.